Molecule: long non-coding RNA, 53775 nt
Filed under: Malus domestica (apple)
Lineage: Eukaryota; Viridiplantae; Streptophyta; Magnoliopsida; Rosales; Rosaceae
Description: long non-coding RNA (MDOM_LNC007646)
Source: RNAcentral
GAGAAUUUCCUAUUUGCAUAAUUGCAUCGCAAGUAGCCAAAACAAAAUGUUUGGGGGUAAAAAAGGAAUAAAAAUGAGACUUUCGGAGAGUGAAGUGGUAGCGAUAGCAAGGAGGAGGGAAGCCAAAGAAGAUCAGAAGAAAAAGGAAGCACUGGAGAAGGCUAGGAAGAUAAGAGAAGCAAAGGAGAAGAAAGAGAGGGAGAAGAAGCGUGCACAGGAUGAGUUGAACAGGAAAUUUGAAGAGAAGAAAAAAAUAGAAAGAGACAUAGAAAGGUUGAGGCGCAAGAUCGCAGAUAUGCACUAUUAAUCGAUCAUCAACUCUCUGGCAGUGGCAUCUGCAAACUCCUUCCAGACUUGUUUAAUUUAUGUUUGCUUUUUUACUCUAUUUUACUUUUUUCUUUGGUUUUUUUUCCCCCUUUUGUUAUUAGCUGAUGGUCUUUCUUGUCUAUGAAUUGAAAUAAAGCAGCUUAUUUGAUGUACUCAAAUUAGUUUCCCUCCUCUGUUUUGAAGUUUUUGCAUAUUUUACAUGUUUGAUGUUUCCCCUUGCUAUGGUGUUAUAUAUGCUUUUACAUAUUUUGAAUCAAUUGAGCUUCUUCUUAUGCACCAGAAAAUAAAAAAUGUAAAUAAAACAUAAGGCACAACAGCAUCACCUUCGGUAAGCUUUGAAAUGGAGUUGGAAGAAAUAUUAGUUUGUGACUUAACACUGCCACAAAAUAUUAUUAUUUUACAAAUAUAAAUUAAUGUGGAGAAUGUUGAUUUGUCUUACAAGUGUCCAAAAAAUAAUAAAACUUAUAUCCUCUCAAUAGAGACAUAAACUUUAUAACAAUAUAAAAACUAAAAAAAAUAAAAAAUCCAUGUUUGCUCCCAUUAAUACGUAUAUAGUUGAACAUACAGACUUCGCACGUCUAGUACCACACUUAUAUAUCACUUGAUAUCGAAUGGCCACCUAUACGAAUUAACACUCUCUUAUCUCAUAAUUUCCCCCUUUUUAAAGCAGUUUGAGAUUGAUGUGCUUUAAAAAAAAAUUAUUUUUGUUGUGUUUAAGAAUAAUCAGCUAUAAAAUAAAGUACAAGAGUGUUUGAUAAAUUGUAAGUUUGAAGUGUUGUUGUGAGUAUAAAAAAAAAAUGUAUAGGCGUUUGGUAAAUUUUAAUGUAAAGGUAAUAAAAUUGUAUAUAAUGACAAAAAUGGACAUAGUAGUAGAGGUGGUGGGGGCGAGAGCAGUAGUGAGGGCAGUGGUGGUGGUGGUGGUGGUAGCGAUGGUGGCGUUGGUGGUGAUGGUAGCAUGGUGGGGGUGCCAAUAGUGGGGUGUGGUGGUUGGGGUGCAAAGGUAAUAAUGGUGCUAGCUAGGAGCGGUAGUAGCGGCGGUGAUGACGAUUGUGGUUGUGGUGGCAGUUGCGGUUAUGGUGGUGGUGGUGGGGCGGUGGUUGCUUUGUCAGUCAUAGACUUAAAGCCCUGGAAGCAUAAAUGAUGUCAGUCGUGUCUUGCUUCAAGCAAAAAGACAUCUCUUUGAAGCGCUCUUCCAGAGUGAGCCAUAAAGAUCGUGGAUCCUCUUCAACUAGGUACAUGAUCUACAAGGCAUCACUCAUAUGCCUUCGUAUCAAGAUCAUGGCGGUUUCUUUGUUAGCUUCGCCAACUGGGUUAUCCAUCUUAGUUUCAAUGGUAGCCCUAAGACUAUUUGCAAUGAGAUGGAGCUUCACAUCUUGAACCCACUUCAGGUAGUUUCGUAUAGAGACGUCCACAACGUUAAAGUGGAGUUUGUUCAAAUUUGACAUGUUGCUAUCACAAAAAGGGUACAAGAUUGUGAUUAGUGAAUGGAGAAAAAAAAAUCAUCCAUACAAAAGGAGUAGAACAUUAUGGUUCUAUUAGACAUGUUUUGGUUUAAAUUUUCUUGAAAAACUUAGGUUUCAUGGUUAUAGGGUUUUAAGAAAACUUCAAGUCCAAAUUUUUAUGAACUUCAAGUUCAUGGGUGUCUGCAAACAAACGCAAUAAAUACAGAAUAAUAUGUGUGUAUGUGUGUAACACCUAAAUUGGUGUAGGUCUGCAGGGCCCACAAUUUCACAGAAUUGCAACAAUGAAAAAAAUCGGAUAAGUGAUUCAUGUGGUCAUAAGGUAUUCGGAAGAUAGCCACUAUACUAAAAAAAACUCAAAUUUAAACCUCUGUGGUGUACUCCGUUAGCAAAUUUAAUCCAAAAAUCAUUUUUCCGUUAACUAUCUCUUAAUACAUGGGUAAAAUUGUACUUUGAUGUGUGCACUCUUAUUCGACACCCAGCUGUCGGAUUCAUUAGUGAUUUCUCCGUCAGCAAACUCAUGCAUCUAACCCGACCCCUUCCCUACCACUAUAUAUACCCCGCUCCCCACUCCCCACUCCCUUCACCUCACUCCCACCACAACUCACAAUUUCAUACCCCCAGGAUUUCUCAAUCUACACCUCCUCGAAACACAACAUUUCACCAUGCCUUGCUCUGAUUCCUCCGUUUCCAUAAUUUCGCACAAUUUACCCCGGCGUCGGUUUCGUGCACACCAAAGCCAAGAACCUCUCUCUGGAUGCCGUCCUGCAGCCCAACACCGACGUUCCACAUUGCUUCAGGGAUUUCUUUGUGUAUGAAAGGACUUUGAGCUACUCCGGUCACUUCAGACCUCUAGCCGCCAUACAGGUCACUGAGCUCGCUGACAUCGUGUUCAUCGGAUGUACGGUCAACCAUUCCGUCGUCGACGGCACAUCUUUCUGGCACUUCUUCAACACCCUUGCUAAGAAUAACCGAGGCACCAAGAAAAUCUCAAAAUCUUCUGAUUUUUCCCGCGACACCGUCUUCAACUCGCCGGCGAUGCUCCAUUUCCCAGAAGGCGGCCCUAAGGUCACCUUCUCCUGCAACGAUCCGCUGCAUGAGAGAAUCUUCCAUUUUACUAUAGAAUCAAUUCUCAAACUGAAAAUCAGAGCAAAUAACUUUUGGACUAAAUCACUUUUCGACACGUCAAAGUAUACUGUUACCAUGUAUUAACAGAUAGUUAACGGAAAAAUCAUUUUUGGACUAAAUUUGCUAACCGAGUAUACCACAGGGGUUUUAAUCCGAGUUUUUUUGGCACAUGGAUUAUCUUUCAAAUACCUUAUGACCGCAGGGAUCAUUUAUCCGAUUCGGCCUACUUUUAUUUGUUGCUGGGUUGCAGGCCAACAGAAGAGGCACGUCAAAAAGCCCAAAGCUCAAAACUGGGCUGUUUUGUGUUGGGGUCAACAAGACCAGGCCCAUAAAUGGCCGAAAUAGAAGUAGAGGGUGCACAAGCCUAGAAACUGGGCUAGGUUUUGAUGCGGGCCAAGCAAGGCAAAAGCAGCAAGGGAUAACAUUGGCCCAAGAAUUGGGCUAGGCUGCUGCAGGCAAUCCAGUGGGGCUAGGUGCGGGUAUAGGUGUCACUGGAAAACAGUGUUACCGCAGCCAGCAGCGAUGAUCUUAAGCCAUGGGGAAACCAUGGGUUCAAGAGGAACCUAAGAACGUUGACGGAGGAAGGUUCCUCGACGUCAGAGUCCAAAGGCCAUGGCUUUUCGAAAUCAAAUUUGAAAAUACGGUGAGAUUUUGACAGGAAAUCUCAUCCACACUUGUCGGGGAUGACUAUAGAUCAUCUGGGACGAGGCUUCACCAGAAAUCGAUGAACCAUGGUGCUGGGCUCAGCUGCAGGCGAGGCCCGUGGAUGGGCCAUGUCUAAGGACACGGACGACCCAAAACGGUGUUGUUUUAGUGGUAGCUCGGCUCAAUGGCACAGGCUGCAGAACUUGCGAGUAGUCGGUGCAACUCAAACGGCUCAAAGUCGUAGCUCGCACGACUAGGGUAAAAAAAACCUUUAUUUUUUUCCUUUCUUACACAAUCAUCAAUUUAAUAUAUACAUGAAAAAUAAUGCGAACACAAUUUAAGCAAAAUCUAUAAUUCAGAACGUGUAAAAGUUAGGUUCAUACAUCAUGGUGAAUAUUUUAUGCAAUCAAGGUUGAAAAAACAGAUUCUUUAGUACAACCUCAAGAGCGUACUUGAGAACGCAUUGUGGCCAAUUUACUGAAGUGAGAGAGAGGUGCGGCAAGGAGAGAGAAUAAGGGUUAGAGAAAUUGUAGGAAGUUAUUCCCCUAUAUAUAUGUCAGUGCCUUUAUUUAUAGUAAACCAUAUGAAGAGAGAAAAUUGCUCUCAAAGUAAUAUAAAUCCUAAUAGGAAAGAAUCACUAGAAUAAAGAGUAAUCCUAAACCAAACCAAUAUAGGAUUUACACAAUCACAGUACGUGAAAUAUUAAUUACAACAGUUAUGCAUAAUUUAUCCAUUCUAAUGAGAUGUUUUCCUUUUAUACUUGCAUUAACCGAAUUUUCCAUUACAUAGUAUUUAAACACUAUUUUAUUAAUAAAUAUACUAUGGUUUGAUCUAACAUUCCCUAAAGUUUCAUCUUAAAUUUCUAAUUUUGUAAGCAAAUUUUCAUCAUUUUCAUUGAAAGCAAUUGAUAUUUCUAUUGAUAUUUUCAUAAAUUUGCAUAUUGAUAUUUUCAUUAAAUUAGAGGAGAGUUCACUUCCACUUGCACAUAAAGUACAAUAGUUAGAUCAACCCGUUACUCACACGUCAAGAUAACAGAUUGAUUCAGGUGCCCACAUCGUUCAUAAGUCGUAACUUCACACUGCCACCAAGUCUACCCCAUCCUUUGUUGAAUUCUAGUCUUUUCACAAAGUAUAAACAAUGACCAAUGAAUUGCCGAAUGCCAUGAGAGAAGUGACAAAAGUGGUGGUUCCAAAAGUCACUCGGAAGAUGAAUGCGAAGUUAUUGAAACCUUAUAUGGAAGAGGAAAUUAAGGUGGCUCUAUUUCAAAUGCAUCCUUCCAACUCCAAGUCUCCGGGACUGGACAAGAUGUCUUCACUUUUCUAUCACAAAUUUUGGCAUAUUGUGGGGGCAGAUGUGAUGGAGGCUGUUCGGUCUUUCUUGAUGUCGGGCCAAUUGUUGCGUGAAGCUUGCUUUACGCAUGUCGUACUUAUUCCAAAAGUUGCCGAACCCCAUGAUAUGAUCCAACUAAGGCCAAUUAGUUUAUGCAAUGUUGUGUAUAAGAUUAGGGCGAAAGUAUUAGCUAAUCGGUUCAAAGGGAUUUUGUCUACUAUUAUCUCUCCACAUCAGAAUGCAUUUGUCCUGGGUAGAUUGAUCUCUGAUAAUUCAUUAGUGGCUACAGAGAUUGGUCAUUUUCUCCAUAAUAAGCGAUGUGGUCGAGACGGGUAUUUGGCUUUGAAAUUCGACCUUAGCAAAGCAUACGACAAUGUUGAAUGGAAAUUCCUGGAAACUGUGAUGGUUAGGUUGGGUUUUGCUAGGGAAUGGUUCAGAGUGAUUAUGGUUUGUGUGUCAUUGGUUUCCUAUUCUUUCCCAAUUAAUAGGGAGCCUAAGGGGUAUGUUGUGCCAUCCUGUGGUCUCCGACAAAAGGACCCGAUCUCACCGUAUCUUUUCCUACUAUAUGUGGAGGGUCUUUCGGCUCUCAUUGCCAAAAAGGAGGAGUGUGGCAGGGGUGGGUUCAAAAAACCAAAAACCAAAAAAAUCGAACCAAACACCGAACCGAAACCCAAACAACUGAACUGAAUGAAAAAAUCGAACCAAACCAAAUAAUUAUAUUAAAUUAAUAUUAUUUUAUUUUAUUUUAUUAUUUAAUCUGUUUUGGGUAUUAUCUUCAAAACCUAAUUUCUAAGCCCAGUGUUCCCAAAAUUUUAAGCUCAUAUAUUAUUAGAAAAAGCCUUUUAACAACUAAAUCGUAACAUAUCUUCUCUCACUUUGUUCUUUCUUUCACCCCAGCUACACCACUUCUCUCCAUGUUCUUUCUUUUUCCUUUCCCCUUCCUCCAUCUCCAUUAUUCACUCCCUCUUCCCUCUUCUUUUUUUCUUUUUUUGUCCCCAGCCGGAUCUUUCCUCUCUCCCUCAUCCACGACAAUGCUUGUCUUUCUAUCUCCCCCGUAAAUCCUCUAUUGCGUUUUCUGAUCUCUCUCACUCUCUCUCUACUAAGAAUCUUCCGGGGUUGCCAAGAAUCCAUACUCGCCGGCAGUCACAACAACUCUUCUGAGUCCAACUUUCAGAGGGGUAAGAGAUAUUUUGUUUGAAAUUUGAACCCAAGAUCUAUGUGAUGAUGUGAAUGAAUUUUAUAAAUUUCUCUGAGAUUUGUAUCUUUGUAAGUUUCUGAAUGAAUUUUGUGAUGGGUUUGUGAAUUGGUGUGAGUUUUUUCUGAAUGGAUUUUGUGAUGGGUUUGUUGAAAUAAGAUAGGAGUUGGACAAAAAAGAAUUCUCUAUAGCUUUGGUUUUGUAUUUGCAGAUAAUUAAUUGUAUGCAAAAGUGAGCACACUAGCCCUCCACCUCCAUCCUCCAAUGCCUCUAAUUAGAGUGAAAUUUGGUUUUUAUUUAUUAAAUUUAUUGUACCUGGCUUUUUUUAUUCUUUGUACUAGUUAAGAAUUCUUCUUAUGGAGUUUUUUAAUUAAUUUUUUUUCAUUUUGGUCUUAGCUUUCAAUAUUUUUGUUGCUGGUUUGUUGUGCACUUGCAGCCUUGGCUGUGAAGGUAAAAAUAAUUGAUUUAUAUCUUUUUAUCUUUUUCUAUAAUUUUUUUCACAGCAAAAACAAAGGAAAGAGGACAAUAGCAGGUUGUUGCUGGUGUUCUUCCAAAUUAAAUUGAGUAUGUAAGAAGAAUCGCCCACAUAUCAAUUUAAGAAUUAAAAUAUAAAAAAACAGUGAAAAAUCGAAGCCGAAUUGAAACCGAACCCAAAAAACCAAAACGAAAAUUAAACCAACAACAACAACAACAACAAAGCCUUUUCCCACUAAGUGGGGUCGGCUAAAACGAAAAUUAAACCAAACAAAAAAAAAAACCAAACCGAGCCGAACAAUAACUUCAGUUCAGUUAUCGAUUUUGGCAAAAAACCAAACCGAUCAGAAUCGAACCCACCUCUACAGUGUGGGGCUCUUAGUGGUAUUCGUAUUUUUGAGGGUGCUCCAAAUAUUCAUCACUUACUCUUUGCUGAUGAUAGCUUUUUAUUCAGGAAAACGAGUCUUGAUGAUUGUGUGGUUAUUCAACAUAUAUUGGAUGUAUACUCUUAAGCGUCGGGGCAGACGGUAAAUUUUUCAAAGAGUAGUGUUGCUUUCAGUGCAAAUGUUGGGUCGAGGGAGCAAGCUUCUAUAGCUGGGUUUCUUGGUGUUCAAGUGGUGGAGCAGCAUGAACGCUACUUGGGGCAGCCCACCUUUGUGGGGAAAAAAUAAGAAACAAACAUUUUCCUACAUUAAGAAACGAGUCCUGAAUAGGCUAUGUGGGUGGAGAGAAAAAUGUUUGAGUAGUGCGGGGCGUGAGCUUCUUAUUAAAGUGGUUGCUCAGGCUCUUCCGGCAUAUGCUAUGAAUUGUUUCUUGCUUCCCAAGACCUUUUGUGAUGAUCUUCAUAAGUUGAUGGCUCGGUUUUGGUUGGGUAGUGAUUCAAAUGGGAGGAAGAUACAUUGGUGGUCUUGGGAAAAGCUUUGCAAACUGAAGGAGGGGGGAAUAGGCUUUCGGGACUUAUUUGCAUUUAAUCUAGCAGUUUUGGCUAAGCAGAGGUGGCGUAUUUUCCAGCAACCUGGUUCUUUGGUGGCUCAACUUUUCAAGGCUCAUUAUUUUCCCACAAUUUCUUUUUGGGAGGCACCUAUUCCGAAGAGCUAUUCGUAUUGCUGGUCUAGUAUUUUAAAGGCUCGGAAGGUGUUGGUCCGUGGUUCCAUAUGGGUUGUUGGGAAUGGUGCGUCUAUUAAGGUGUGGAAGGAUAGAUGGCUACUAAGACCUCACUCUUUCAAAGUCUUGUCUAUUACUGCUACUGAUCAGGUGGAUGUGUGUGUCCAUGAGCUAAUUGAUACGGAUUCUUGCUCGUGGAAAUUGGAUGAGUUACAUGAUUUGUUUUUGAAUGAGGAUGUGAGUGAGGAUGUGAGUUUGAUUAGUACUAUGCCGAUAGUUUUCACUUACCGCCGAAUCAGUUAGUGUGGCAUUAUAAUGCUCAGGGUGAAUAUACUGUUAGCAGUGACUAUCUGGUGGCUAGGGAGUUAGUGCAAUCUCACAUGGCGGGUGGGUCUACGUCGGAAGGGAGCAAUGUUGUUUCAUCUCUCUAGAAGUCCAUAUAGAAGGCUAAGAUUCCUCCUAAGGUGAAAAUUUUUACGUGGAAACUUAGUCAGGACAUUAUUCCGAUUAAAUUUAAUCUUGCUAGGAAGGGGUGUACCUUGAUAUGGAGUGUGGGGCUCGUUCAGGUCAUCUUGAAACGGAUGGGCAUGUGUUCCAGAAGUGUGUGUUUGAGAAGGCUGUGUGGUUAAGGUCUUUGUUGAGGGCUUGUAUAUUACCGAAACCGGGAGCGUUGAUGCGAAAGUGGCUCCUUUCAGUAGUUGAGAAUCAAAAAGUAAGUUUGAUCUUGUUUGCAUGGUUCUUUGGGGUUUGUGGCAUGCUCGUAACUCCCUAAUAUGGGAUGGGCAACGUGGACAACCUAUGGAGGUAGGGCAUAAGGUGGUAUGCUGGUAUCAGACAUUUUUGGUAUCCCAUGAAGUGCAGAGGGUCUCCAGGCCAGUUCAUCGACUCAAAUGGUUAACCCCCUCUGAUGGAUGGGUCAAAAUCAAUGUUGAUGGGGCCACACGGUUGGAGCAUUUUUCUAGGGGAGUAGGAGCUGUAUUGAAGGAUGGGACAGGGACGUUUUUAGCAGCGGCAGCUUGGAGGAAGGAGGGUAUUGGGUUUGCACUUCAUGUGAAGUUUAAGGCAGUUUUGGAGGGCCUUCGGUUGGCAGAGAGGUUACAGGUUCGACGGGUUAUUGUGGAGAGUGAUUCCACUCUCGCUAUUGCUACUAUCAAUAACUACUCUCGGAAUUUGUCCAAGUUUGGUCUGCUAGUGGAGGAUGUCAGGGAAGUGGCGGAGUUGCUUUCCUCAGUCUAGUUUGUGCACGUGCUAAGAACAUGUAAUAGGGAUGCCCAUAGAUUAGCUAAGUUUGCCAUUUCAAUUGGCAAUGAAUUUGUAUGGUUAGAGGACCUUCCUAAUCUCAUUCAGGACCUCCUCAGCCAGGAUCUGAUGUGGUGCAUUUGUUUUCAAUAAAAUAUCGAGUUUUCUUUAAGAAAAAAAAAUUCUAAAGACUUCAUUCCAUGUAGUGCCAAAUCAUUUGUUCUUGACCUAUAUAGAUCAAUAUAGGAAAUGACCAAGAUGAUAUUAGGAACAACAAAUAACAAACAAUGAAAUGGAAUGACGUCCAUCCACAUUAUUAGAGGGAAAAAAUCAUAUUUAAUUGCGUAUUCUUCAUUUUUAACAUAAACACUUGACAUGGCGUUAUCAUGGUGAUAUCAGCUUUGCCAUUAAAAUAGGGUAUUCUACCAUAAGCAAUACUCAUCUCAUAAAUGAUAGUUGUUGAAUAAAUUAAAAAGAGGCGAUUGUCUCAAGGAACCACCCUAGAAAAUACAAAGCUGAUCAAAGCAUGCUAUAUGUUUUCAGAUAGUCAAAGCGAAGAAAAUUUCAUUGCAUUAUUGCCUCUAAAAAGAAUGUUUGGGUGCACAAAAUGAUUAAAAGUGGGGUAAAUUACACUUUCAUAUCUCAGGUUUGGGAUCUAUUUCAAUUCUUUAUAACAUCUUUAAAACAUUUCACUUUCAUAACUUAAGUACUAUUUUAUUUCAAAAUAAUACAUCUGUUACAUUUUCCAUCCAUUGAUCUGUUAAAUGUUGACAUGGCUGUCACGUAUAUGCCACGUGGCUGCUAAAUGUCUGCCACGUGGCAAAUAAAAUAAUUUUUUUAAUUUUUUUUUAAAACCUGAAUUUUCUCAAAAAAAAAAAAAAUUGAAACCCACAUUUGCAAGAAGAAGAAGAAGAAGAAGAAGAGGGAGGAAGAAAGAAAAAGAAAAAAAAAAGUCCCUCCUCCCCCCAAUGACCCAGAAGAAGAAGAAGGAGGAGGAGGAAGAAAAUAAAAUAAAAAAAUAGAAACCCACAUCUGCAAGAAGAAGAAGAGGAGGAGGAGGAGGAGGAAGAGAGGAAGAAAGAGAAGAAGAGGAGGAGGAGGAGGAGGAGGAGGAGGAGGAGGAGGAGGAGAAGAAGAGAGGAGGAGGAGGAGAGGAGGAGGAGGAGGAGGAGGAGGACGAAGAAGAAGAGAAGAAGAAGAAGAGGAGAGAGAAGAGGAAGAGGAAGAAGAGGGAAGAGGAGGAGGAGAGGAGGACAGGGAACGAGGAAGGACGGAGAGAAGACAGAGAAGAGGAAGAAGGAAGAAGAAGAAGAAGAAGAAGAAGAAGAAAGAAGAAGAAGAAGAAGAGAAGAAGAAGGAGAAAGAAGAAGAAGAAGAAGAAGAAGAAGAAGAAGAAGAGAAGAAGAAGAAGAAGAAGAAGAAGAAGAAGAGGAGGAGGAGGAGGAGGAGGAGGAAGAAGAAGAAGAAGAAGGAGGAGGAGGAGGAGGAGAGGAGGAGGAGGAGGAGGAGGAGGACGAACGAAGAAGAAGAAGAAGAAGAGGAAGAAGAGGGAGAGGAAGGAGGAGGGAGAGAGGAGAGGAGGAGGACGAAGAAGAAGAAGGAGAGAAGAAGAGAGAGGAGGAGGAGGAGGAGGAGGAGGGAGGAGGAGGAUGAGAAGAAGAAGAAGAAAAAGAAGAAGAGAAUGAGGAUGAGGAGGAGGAGGACGAGGACGAGUGAGGACGAGGAGGAGGGAGGAGGACGAGGGAGGACGAAGAAGAAGAGAAGAAAGAAAGAGGGAAGAAGAGGGAGAGAGGAGGAAGGAGAGGAGAGAGGAGGAGGACGAGGACGACGAAGAAGAAGAAGAAGAAGAAGAGGAAUGAGGAGGAUGGGAGGAGAGGAGAAGAAGAAGAAGAAAAGAAGAAGAAGAGAGGAGGAGGAGAGGAGGGAGGAGGAGGAGAAGGAAGAAGAAGAGGAAGAAGGAGGAGAGGAGAGGAGAGAGGAGAAGAGAGGAGGAGGAGGAGGAGAGGAGGAGGAGGAGAAAAGAAGAAAAGAAGAAGAGAGAGAGGAGGAGGAGGAGGAGGAAGGAGGAGGAGGAGGAGGAGGAGGAGGGAAGGAACGAAGAAGAAGAAGAGAAGAAGAGAAGAAGAAGAAGAGAGAAGAAGAGGAGGAGGAGGAGGAGGAGGACGAGGACGAGGAAGGAGGAGGAAGAAGGCAGAAGAAGAGGAGAAGAAGAGAGGAGGAGGAAGAGGAGGGAGGAGGGAGAGAAGGAGGACGAGGAGGAGGAGGACGAAGAAGAAGAAGAAGAAGAAGAAGAAGAAGAAGAAGAAGAAGGAAGAAGGAGGAGAAAGAAGAAGAGGAAGGAGGAGGAAGAGGAGAGGAGGAGGAUGAGGAGGAGAAGGGAGGAGGAGAGGAGAGGAGGAGGAAAGAAGGAGGCACGAGGAGAGAGGAGAAGAAGAAGAAGAAGAGAGGAGGAGGAGAGAGAAAGAAGACGAAGAAGAAGAAGAGGAGGGAAGGUGAGUGAGAGAGGGAGGAGGAGAGGAGGAGGAGGAGAAGAAAAGAAGAAGAGGAGAGGAGGAAGAGGAGGAGGAGGAGGAGGAGGAGAGGAGGGAAGAAGAAGAAGGAAGAAGAAGAGAAGAAGAAAAGAAGAAGAGGAGGAGAGGAGGAGGAGGAGGAGGGAGGACGAGGACGAGGAAGAGGACGAGGGAGGACAAAGAAGAAGAAGAAGAAGAAGAAGAAGAAGAGGAGGUGGAGGACGAAGAAGAAGAAGAAGAAGAAGAAGAAGAAGAAGAAGAAGAGGAGGUGGAGGAUGAGACGAAGAAGAAGGAAGAAGAAGAAGAAGAAGAAGAAGAAGAAGAGAAGAAGAAAGAGAGGAGGAGAGACGAGGAGGAGGAGGACGAAGAAGAAGAAGAAGAAGAAGAAGAAGAAGAAGAAGAAGAGGAGGAGGACGAGGACGAAGAGGACGAGGACGAGGACGAGGACAAGGAGGACGAGGACGAGGACGAGGAGGAGGAGGAGGACGAGGAGGAGGACGAGGAGGACGAGGAGGAGGACGAAGAAGAAGAAGAAAAAGAAGAAGAAAAGGAGGAGGAGGAGGAGGAGGAGCAGAAAAGAUGUUUCUGGGCUAAAAGCUAAAUUUUCCGGGCUAAAAAAUUUGGCUUUUAGCCCAGGGUUGGAGAUGGUCUUAGAGCAAUUCCAUCUCUAAAGACUUUGCGCUAGCAUCUAACAUAUUUAUCCACUCAAGUGAACAAUAAUAGAUCCCUAAAAAAUGCGUUGGCACCCAAUCCAUUUAAAAUAUUUUAUAUUUUUUUAAAAGAAGAAAUAAAAAAAAUAGUUUUAUUUUCGGAUAAGAUUUUUAACCAAUUUCGGAUAAAAUUUCAAAUAAACUUAAAAAAAACACACUAAAAUAAAAUUACAUAAUUUUUAAGGUGGAAGAUGAGGGUUAGGUAUUUAUAGAAAAAAAUAACGUUUUAAAAAAAAUCUGUAUUUUUUAGAUAAUUUUUAAUAAAUUUUAAUAUAGUUAAUUAAUCUGUAUCGUUGGAUUUGAAAAAUAUUCAAAUCCAAGAGCCAAGGUGUUGCCACCUGGCCAACAGUCAUAAUUCUGACCGUUGGGCUUUUUUUAUUUUUUUUAUUUUUAUUUUUGGUGAAAAAAACGUAGACUGUUGAUCUGUGAUUGGACGGUCCAUUUUAAAAAUCAAAUUUAAAUUUUUUUUACCGUUGGAAAUCCAACAGUAUACAAAAACUAGCCGUUGGAAAUCCAACGGCAUUGAGAGGGUCACGUCGCCUCCUUACGGGUGAAGCACAAGUGGGUUGACAACAGGCCCUGCUGCCUACACCUUUGUCCCCUACUCGCGCCCACUCGCGAGUAAGCUACAAGUGCCAGGCAAAUACCUUGGCUCCAUGGUCAGUCAAUUUUUGGCUAACCCAGAGACCAGCUUGGGCUGGGUGCCAGGCAAAUUGUUGGGCUGGAGUGAAUUGACAAGGUGCCAGCCUGGUUUUUUGACUGGGUGCUGGGCUAUUCCACCUCCGGUGGAACUGCUCUUAAAGAAAACUCUGGAAAAAAAACAUGAAAGUAUUUCUCUCUAUCCUCUUACUUGCUUUAUCCCCCAACCCUGAGAACUAGCUGCUUAGAACCGUCAUCUUCCAUCACUAGCAACAAGCUACAAACAAAAAAGAGAAAAACAAGUCUUCUAUACCUUCCUACAUGACUCACACCCCAACAUUUAACCCUUGAGAUCCAGCUGCUUAGAAUCGUCUUCUUCCAACUCCGACACCAAGCUACAAACAAAAAAGAGAAAACAAUGCAUUCUCCUUGUUCCUACGUAAUUCUCAUUGCAACCUUCUCGCCAGAAAUAAAGCUUAUUACUAUCAUUUCAAUCGGUGACAACCCGAACAACACCGGAAACAACACUGCAAUCGGUGACAAUCGAACAACAAUGGCGGCGGUGGCAAUGACCCAAACAAUAAUGGGUGCAACAGGAAGAGCCUAAACAAUAAUGGCGACAACAGCAACAACUUGAAAAAUAAUGCUAGCAACGCUAACAACCUAAACAACAAUGACAGUUGUGCCAACAUCCUGAACAACAACGGGGGGCAGCGGUAACAACCCAAAAAAAAAUAGGGGCGGCGGCAAUAACCUAAACAACAAUAAAGACGUUAACAACGGCAAUGUUGGCCUCAACCAUUUCUCCCAUGAAACUUUCCCUUAAAGCAUUGGAAAUUAACGUCUUUUUUUGCAGUGGUUGACUUGAUGUGGACUAUUAUACUUAACCCGGACAUUCGUCAAGGUGGUUGGACACGAAGUUAGACACUGUUACUAUUUUUCGGAUUGCGCAGUGCAGGUUGAGGAUUUGGUACCUUUGUUUGUGCGAAACUCAUUGGAAAACUCUCAUCCUGAGUUGAGUUGGUUUGAUUUGGGAAAGAACCCCAACAAAAAGAUGAUUACAAGGAUCAUCAAGGACAAGGAGUGAAAGUGCAAAUCAAGUUAUUUCUACACAUUCAUGGCUGUCUGCAACGUGUCUAUGUUGAUCAUAUGGUGGGGAUUGUUGAUCAUGACUUGUGAACUCUCACAGGUUGCCCCCUAUGUGUGGGUUACAUUCUGAGUUGUAUGGGUGAUAUAUUGUUUGUUCACAAGGAGGUUGUAUCCUGGAAAGCAAAGUUUGUGGAGAUGACUUCAAAUUGGUUACAUUGCGCUCCUCAUUCACUUUUUGUUUGUGGAUAUGGUUUCAAAAUGGAAAAGUUGGGAAUGUCAUGCCAAAAAAAUAUGGCAAGAUGAGUGUAAAUCUUUCCAGUUCAGUGUAGCCAAUUUGAAACCACAUACACAAACUUUGCAUUCUGGGGUAUAACCUCCUUGUAGACAGAUAAUAUGCUACCCAUACAACCCAGAGUGUAGCUCACACAGAGGAGGUAACCUUUGGUAGUUCAUAAGUCAUGAUCAACAAUCUCCAUUGUAUGAUCAACAUGGAUACAUUGUAAAAAGCCAUGAAUAUGUAGAAAUAACUUGAUUUGCACUCGCACUCUUCGUCCUUGAUGAUUCUUGUAAUCCACUUUUUGUUAGGAUUCUUUCCAGAAACAAACCACCUCAACUCGGGACGAGAGUUUUCCAACUACGGGUAUCGCAAGGACGGAGGUACCAAAUCCUUAAACUGCAGUGCACAAUCCGAAAAAUAGUCACAUUGUCCAACUUCGUGUUCGACCACCUUGACAAAUAUGUCCGUGUUAAGUGUAAUAAUCCACAUCAAGGUAGCCAUUGCAAGAAAAACGUUGAUUUCUAAGGGAAAGUUUCAUGGGAGAAAUGGUUGCGGCCGCCGUUGUUGUUAGCGUCGUCGUUAUUGUUGUUUGAGUUGUUGACGUUGCCAUUGUUGUUCAGGUUGUUGUUGUUGUCCCCAUUGUUUUUUGGGUUGUUGGUGCGACUGCCAUUGCUGUUCAGGUUGUAGUCGUUGCUAACAUUGUUGUUUAGGUUGUUCCCGAUGCCCUAAUUAUUGUUUGGGUCAUUGUUGUUCGGUUAUCAUCAAUUGCAGUGUUAUUUUUUGUGUUGUUCGGGUUGUCACCUAUUGAAGUGAUAGUAAUAAGCUCUAUUUCUGGCGAGGAAGUUGUAGUAGGAGUCAUGUAGGAACAAGGAGAAAGCAUUGUUUUCUCUUUUUUUUUUUUUGUAGCUUGGUGUCGAUAGUGGAAGAUAACAAUUCCAAGCAGUUGGAUCUCAAGGGUUAAAUGUUGGGGUGAGAGUCAUAUAGGAAGACGUCGAUUUCUCUUUUUUGUUUGUAGCGAGUUGCUAGUGGUGGAAGAUGACGGUGUAGACAUCGAAAUUUCGGUAAAUAAAUGUUGACCGAUAAAUCAAAGUGUCAACGCUCAUGUAUUACAUAAAUUUUACACGUAGCGUGUGACUCAACGAAAAUUGAAAUAAGUUGGAAAAGUCAUCAAAUAGGACACGUGUCAACACCUGGCAGAAACGACUUAUUUCAUCUGGAAUAUUAUAUUCAAAAUUAGGCCUUGGAAAAUUCUAUAAAUACAAGCCCAUUUCAUUCAUUUGAAGAAACCAAUUCAUAUUACACCUUGAAGCUCUGAAGCUCUGAAACUCCGAAGCUCUCAAGCAUCCAAGUUCCCGAAGAAUCAAGAAAGUGUUCUUCGUUCUUCGUUCUUCGUUCAUCGUUCUUCCAAGAUCAAGCCCCAACGGCCCUUGGAUCAACAAUCAUCCACCAAUUCAUAUUACACCUUGAAGCUCUGAAGCUCUGAAACUCCGAAGCUCUCAAGCAUCCAGGUUCCCGAAGAAUCAAGAAAGUGUUCUUCGUUCUUCGUUCAUCGUUCUUCCAAGAUCAAGCCCCAACGGCCCUUGGAUCAACAAUCAUCCACUUGAAGCUCUGAAGCUCUGAAACUCCGAAGCUCUCAAGCAUCCAGGUUCCCGAAGAAUCAAGAAAGUGUUCUUCGUUCUUCGUUCAUCGUUCUUCCAAGAUCAAGCCCCAACGGCCCUUGGAUCAACAAUCAUCCACCAAUUCAUAUUACACCUUGAAGCUCUGAAGCUCUGAAACUCCGAAGCUCUCAAGCAUCUAGGUUCCCGAAGAAUCAAGAAAGUAUUCUUCGUUCUUCGUUCAUCGUUCUUCCAAGAUCAAGCCCCAACGGCCCUUGGAUCAACAAUCAUCCACCUUCAAGAUCAACCCCCGACGGCCCUUGAAGAAAGCGUUCUUCGUUCUUCCUUCAUCGUUCUUCCAAGAUCAAGCCCCAACGGCCCUUUGGAUCAACAAUCAUCCACCAAUUCAAGAUCAAGCCCCGACGGCCCUUGAAGAAAGCACCAUCGUUCAUCAUCGUUCUUCCAAGAUCAAGCCCCAACGGCCCUUUGGAUCAACAAACGUCGACAAAUCCACACAUCCAACCGUUCUUCAAGAUUAAGCCCAAAAGCCCUUGAAGAUCUGUUCAUCACUGUUUCUUCAAGAUCAAGCCCAAAAGCCCUUGAAGAUCCGCUCAAAUCCACCUUCAAAGAUCAAGCCCACGGCCAUUUGAAGAAACUUCCAACAGUUCAUCCAAGAUCAAGCCCCGACGGCCCUUGGAUCAACGAAACAUCCCCAAAUCAACAUCUUACGGAGAUCGAAUCAGAGGAUCAAAAUAGAGAGAGAUUGUAACCCAAAAUAAUCAUCAAAUACAAAUAUUUGUUUGUGCACGUUCGUUCUUGUCUCUUUCGUUUCAGGAAUUUUCCGUGUUCACAAAUUGGCACGCCCAGUGGGACAAUCUCUGCCUCUCAUCUCUUUCUCCGUUCAAGAAAAUCAAAACACACUUCCAAAAUUAAUGGCAUCAAGGAAGGCUCAAACUGCUCCCGCAACUGGUGUCAAUUUGGGCAUCACGACUCGAAGCAUGGCAAGAGCUACUUCUGCCGCCUUUUUCACCUCUGCAUCAACUCUGCCAAGGGAACAAAAGCACCCAAGGCACGAGCCUUUGAUCACCUUAGCCUUACUAAGGGCACCAAGGGGGGAAAGCCCAAGGAAAUACUCUGAAUCCAUGCUCUCCGAUGCCGAUUCAAGCGACAGUUCAGCCAUGCAAGUCAUGACCAUUGGAGCAACCUCAAUCGAUGAGCAGCUGGCUCAAAUGAAUGAAGCAAUCGCAAGGCUAACCCGAACUGUGGAAGAAAAAGACUUGCAAAUUGCAGCACUAGUCAACCGACUGGAGGCGCAGGAUGGCGAUAAACCCGACCCAGAGGAUGAUCCACUAAAGGGAGGAGCUGGCGGAGACGAAGAACCCCCGGUGAAGAAAAUCGAUGGGAAGCCGGAGCCAGACCAAGCAGCGGCACUCAUGGGAUCUCUUUCUAUCCAGCAGCUGCAGGAGAUGAUCACCAGCACCAUCAAGGCACAGUACGAAGGGAGCUCACAUACCUCCUUGUUCUACUCGAAGCCCUAUUCCAAGAAGAUUGAUGCCCUAAGGAUGCCAAGGGGUUAUCAACCACCAAAGUUCAUGCAGUUUGAUGGAAAAGGAAACCCAAAGCAGCACGUUGCACAUUUCGUCGAAACUUGCAACAACGCAGGGACGGAGGGAGACUACCUCGCUAAGCAGUUUGUGCGCUCGCUGAAAGGAAAUGCCUUUGAGUGGUACACGGACUUAGAGCCUGAGUUCAUCAACAGCUGGGAGCAAUUGGAGCGGGAAUUCCUCAACCGCUUCUACAGCACCCGCCGCACUGUGAGCAUGCUAGAGCUAACGAGCACAAAACAGUGGAAGGACGAGCCAGUCAUUGACUACAUCAACAGAUGGCGCACUCUAAGCCUCGACUGUAAAGACAGGCUCUCGGAAACCUCUUCAAUCGAGAUGUGCAUCCAAGGCAUGCAAUGGGGUUUGCAAUACAUCCUUCAAGGCAUUAAACCACGGACUUUCGAGGAAUUGGCCACUCGCGCCCAUGACAUGGAGUUGAGCAUCGCCCAUCAUGGGAAGAAAGAACCGAUAGCCGACUACAAGAACGACAAAGUUCUUGGGACAAAGGUGGAAAAGGUUGCAUGGAAACCCACCAAGGAAGCGAUGACGGUCAACACAGCUCCCGUCAAAAUCCCUACACGAGGCAAGGCGAUUCAAGCCGAAGGCUUUCGUGAUCAAGAGAUGCGUAGACACACUUUGAAGGAGCUUGAGGAGAAAACUUAUCCAUUCCCCGACUCUGAUGUGGUUGCCAUGUUAGAAGACUUGCUGGAAAAGAAGGUGAUCGGCUUGCCUGAGUGCAGACGGCCAAAAGAGAUGAAUCGCACUGACAAUCCAAGGUACUGUAAAUUCCACCGCUUCAUCAGUCAUCCGACAGAAAAAUGUUUCGUGCUGAAAGAUCUCAUCAUGAAGCUGGCUCAGAAAGGAAUCAUCGAGCUAGAUCUCGACGAUGUGGUGAACACAAACUAUACCGCCUUCACUUCUGGCUCUUCCGACUCGAAGUUUUCACCUCAACCGCUGGGGGCAUCCUCUAAAACAAGCAAAAUUGAAGGAUGGACUCAAGUCACUCCUAAGAAAUUGCACAAGAAGCAUACGUCUCCUCCACAAGUCCGCCAAUCGGAAAAGGGGCAAAGCAGCUCUUGUCAACCUUCAAAGCAACGUGAACGUGUUGAAGAUGAUGAAAUUUCGACACAUAGACCGUCCAUCCCCAUCACGAUGCGCGACUUCUUACCCGAAAACUUCUUCAAACACGCGGUCAAAGCUCCUUGCUAUGAAGAUUGCGAGGAACGACUCUCUCGGAUCGCUUGACGAACCAACCAAUGCUCCUUGUUCGCACGAGCCUAAAACUGCACGAACCAAAGCUCCUGGUCUGCACGAGCAUAAAAGGCAACACCAACGCUCCUGGUCUGCACGAGCAUAAAAGGCAACACCAACGCUCCUGGUCUGCACGAGCCUAAAAGACGACAACCCAAAGCUCCUUGCCUGCACGAGCUGAAACUGCAACACGGCACCAAAUGCUCCUUGUCUGCACGAGUUGAAACUGCAAACGACACCAACACUCCUUGCCUGCAUGAGUUAAAAUUGCAAACGGCACAAAAAGAAAAUACCAAAAAAAAAAAUGUAUGUAUUUGAACUACGUUACGACUUGAUCUUUUCUUUGGAGGGGUACGUAGGCAGCUCGAAUAUUCAAAAUUUGAGUUCAGUCACACCAAAAUAAGGAAUAAAGAUUUAAUUAAAAGUUUUGAUGCUAUUACAAUUUCUUUGUACAAAAAAAAAAAAAAAAAAAAAAAAGGAGAUACAUGUUUUAUGUAUUAAAAAAAAAACAUGUGUUUUAUGUAUAUAUAUAUGUAAAUGUGAAGCGGUUGCUAUCAUUUGCAUUGCUGAUUGAGCUUCACGUGAAGGAGCACAGUACCAUCAUCAUCCCAGCAGCUCGCUUUCUCUUCAGCCCAUAAACUCCCUCAAUCCACAGGCCCAGGUCUCCCUUCAAUUUCACAGGCCCAGAUGCCAAGAGCCCAUCAAGCAGCGGGCCUCUUCCUCUCCCUCAACCUGAUAAGCCAUCUUUCCAAAACCAAUGAGCCCAGCUACAAUUACAGGCCCAAACUCCAGCUUGUCUUCUUCAGCCCCGCGAGGAAAAUCUGCAGUGCUAGGGUUUCUGAACCACUCCGAGCUCGUUCGGAGACGGAAUUCGUGUCCAGAAGCCGCUCCGUACGAUUCUCUUAGCCCUCUACCUUCCCGAAGGUGAAAAGAGGCUGGAUGAAAAGGGUUCAACAAGAGUGGAGCAUCUUCGAGAAAGAUCUACCUGAACAAAUCUAUGUCCGCGCCUUCGAGGAAAGGAUGGAUCAAAGCAAGCAACAAGGCCAGUCCGAUUCGCCGAAUCUGUCACCGUUCGUCGACCCACAGAGCCAUACCCAGCACAUCCCGAAGAUCGAGGACUUUCUCGGCGAUUCGUCAUCAAUGGUGCGCUAUUCCGAUAGCCAAACAGAGACCCAAGACUCAUCGUCCCUGACCCACAUGUACGACCAGAGCUCCACCUACUUCGGCGGCGACCACCAACAGCAGGAAGAUCGCAAGGCGAUUACCGGGUUCCAAGCUUUUUCGACCAACUCGGGCUCGGAGGUGGAGGACUCCGCGUCCAUGGCCCGGACGACUCAGCAUCAGCAGCAGCUCGCUUGCGCCGAGUUCGAGGGUCAUUCCAUUGAGUCGAACGGGAACGAGUUAGGGGUCUACAACUCCAACUGCACGACGAAUGCUUUGUCGCUUGGAGUCACCACCACUCAAAGCUCUUCCGAUCAGAAGAAUGCCAUUAUCGCCGUCGACAACGACGGCUCAAAGAAGAUUGCUGAUACUUUUGGUCAGAGGACUUCGAUUUACAGAGGGGUCACCAGAUUUAUUACAAGCUGACAAAAAGCAAACCCGAAACGUCUAUUAGUCAGAUACAAAUACAUGGCUCCAGCGAGCAAUUGGUUGUCCUUCUCUCUCAUGUCUCCCAUGGAAAUGCUGAGGUCCUCUGAGUCCGAUCAAUCUCUUGCGGGAUCUCGACCUUUAACCCGGUCCGAUCCUCAUAGAUCUGAAAUUGCCAUGACUCUCGUGGAUCUCUCCUCCCUUUCCCUUCGUCUCUGUAGAAAUUUGGGGCACCCAAAUUCGGUCUCUCCCUCUUCAUCCGCCGCUGCCAACCUAGGCAGAGCAGAGAGCGACGCCGCCUUCAACCUCUAACUUCCCGUCUCCGCCUUCUUCGUCCAAAGCAAGCACCAUCGACUGCAGUCCGACAAAUCGCUUGCGGCCAAAGCUAUUCGAGCCUCGUCGGCGCAUCGCGACUCCUCUCUCUCCUUCUACCGAGACCUGCUCCUCCUCUUCAACAAUGUCGUCGUCUUCUUCCCCAAAUCCUCCAUCGGGUCAAGGACUGCUCACCAACUCCGCCGCCUCGUCUUGAAUGAAAUGAAGAAGAAGAAUCUCAUCACUCGAUGCCAACCUUGAGCCUCGCCGUGCAUUCUUUCGAUUCCAAAAUCUCGUCCCCAUCAACGCCGUCACUUCUGAAGAUUCCGACGGUGAUGGUGCCACCAAAGGCUCUGUCUCUUUCACUGCAGCUACAACUUCACUUGACGAUAAAGAAGAUGCGACUUUGGGAGUUAGAUACUGUCUUCCUCCGCCAUGGCUCAUGCACAGCUCGGUCCUCACUCCACCCAAACCCGACCUGCUGCACAUGGUGCGCACACCCGGAGCCAGUUGGGCUGCGCUCUCGGCAUCGACUCCUUCUACCGCAGCGCCUGGCCUCCCUCGAGCUCGUCACCCUACAGCCCUCUCCGUCUUCGUCCUUCCCUGCAAGUUCCCAUCACCAGAAUUUAUAUAAAUAUAUAUAUAAUAAAAAAAUAAAAAAAACAACAUAGUGGAGCAAAGUGGUGCUGGCACCACGUGAUUAAAGGCAAAAAAAUAUAAAUGUUUGAUCUUUGGUGCGUCUGGCACCAUGAUUAAAGAAAAAAAAAAAAAAAAAGUUUUAUCUUUGGUGCUCUGGCACCAUGUGCAAAUAAAAAAAAUAAUAAUAAUAAUAAAUAAAAAAAAAAUAAAGGGGAUGGUUGUACAGCGCCAAAAGAAAAAGAAAUAAUAUAUAUAGAUAUAUAUAUAUAUAUAUAUGUACAUAAUAUAUAUAUAGCAAAAAAAAAAAAAAAAAAAAAAUUGCAUUGAGAGAAAUAAAGUCCAUUUUAUUUAUUUUUCUGGAAAUUUUACAUAAAUUUGCAUUAUACAUACCUUAAAAAAAAAAUAAAAAAAAAUCAAAUCAAAUUUACAAGAGGGGAUCUUCAAGGACGAUCAGGUGGCGCCUCACAACUCGGCGGAGCUCCAGGAAGAGGAGGCGCCGGAGGUUGACUGUUUGAAGCCUCAGCAGUCGGCAGAGCCCCAGAAGACGAAGGCAAAUGCUGCUGGAACAGACCCACAAACCGCUGAUGAUCAAGUAAAAUCUGACCAUCAGAUUCCUGCAUCUGGUCAAUUUUCCUCUUCAUGUUUGUGGCAUAGUUGUGUGCGAGCUUAUGCAACUGUUUAUUCUCCUGCUUGAGCCCUCUAAUCUCCUGUUUGAGACUCGUCACUUCAGCCGCCAAUGAUUCAACUUGACGGGUUCGCAAAUAGGCGUUGGGCCAUAUUAGACACAGAACCUGCACACUGCACACUAAGAGCCAGAGAAUCCUUAACAGCCAACUCAUCAGACCGUUUGGAAAGUAGUCUGUUAUCUCUGGGAGUGACAAGGUUUCGGGCCACCACCGCAGCGGUCAUAUCAUUUUUCAUCACCGAAUCCCCAACAGUAAGAGGACCAGUAGGGGAUAUGAAGGAUGGGCGCCAUAUGUUAUCUGGAGAAGACGGGACUACCUCUUCACCAAGGUUCAAAUCAAAACGACGGUCGGAGGGUCCAGACAUUUUCAAAGUGUUGAAGGAAGAAGAGAUCGGACAAAUCAAGAUCUUAGAAGUACAAGAGGGGAGUUUUCACAAGCGAAAAUUCAAGUGUGCUUUGAAACGAACUGCAUGCCUCUAUAAAAAUCAGCACUCGACGGGAUUUCAGAGAUCGAAGAGGCGAGCUCAGAAUUCGAAGAGGCCAUUCAAAAAUCGAAGAGGCAAGCUCAGAAAUCGGAGAAGCAUCUUGCUUUUUCCAGACGUGUCGGCACCCGUCACACGCAAACUCAGCUUUGCGGAAAUCACGGGUAAUUUGUCGAAGCGCCAAUCCCAGAUAUCGAAGAGGCGCCAGUCUUUUUCAGCCGCGUCAUCACCUGUCAUAUGCACACUCAACUUUGCGCAAAUCAUGGGGAAUUUGUCGAAGAUUUUCGGUGAAGGAGAAAGCACGUUAAGUUUACUGUUCAAUCACGCGUUAGUUGCCGACACGAGUGAAAGAAUAGUACCUCUACAGGUAUUAAGGGACCUCCUAUAACUGUCCACCUUCACCUUCCAUAGCAAGGCAGACACACAGAGUUUUUCUUCAUCUCCAAAAAUGCUUUCCCAACGAAACCUCUCGAGUCAUUCAGUGUUCCUUAUUCCUUGGGGUACCUCUGCAAGCCAAUGACUCCAAAGCAAAAGUAUCUCAUAUCACCAGGGUAGAAAGCAAGAGUAUCUCAUAUCAUGCACUCUCCCUGUCCUUUCCUUUGUCCUUGUUCUUACCUGCAAAGACAAGGAUAAAGAAAGCAAUAUGCCGGAACCUCCACUCAAACUUGGGUAAGGAACCGACUGCUUGGAACCCUUCCCUGAUUGCCUACCUAGCACUGCUAUCGAGUACUCGCCUCCCACUGCUGCUGUACUUUCAAAGAAGCUGCCACAUCUGCCUGGAGGACAGAUAAUGCAAGUGAAAAUGAUACCUUGCAGCAUGUGGAGACAAGGUGCAGAAGGAACAAGCAGAAAAGAAUGCGGUCUGCACGGUCAACUCAGCAGAAGGAGUCCGAACUGAGGAACUCGAGAAGCUGCCACAUCUGCCUGAAGAAACAAGCAGAGAAGAAUGCAGCAUGCACAGUCAACUCAGCAAAAAGAGUCUGAGAUGAAGAACUCGAGAAGAUGCCGCAUCUGCCCGAGGACGGUGAACUCGUUUUGACCCUCAAAUUCUUGGGUCGACUUACUAGGCGUUGUGGGCUGCACAUGCCGAUUCACCACCCUUGAAUCAAAUCCUUAAAGACCAAGUCACCAAUUGGAAGAGGAGCCCAUCAAUCUCGAAGAUCAUACCGUUGACCAAACUACUCAGGUAUGAAUUAGAAAGAUUGAACAAAGCAACAAGUCGUCACCUUCACCUCGUGCCUGCUUGCCGUGUGUUCGAGUCAGCCUUCAAGAAUCAAGCCUCAACGGCCCUUGAAGAAGCUUCCAGCCAAAUUCAAAAUCAAGCCUCGACGGCCCUGGAAGAAAUCACAAGUCCGAUUCAAGAUUAAGUGUCUACCAUCCUUGAAUCAAAACCUAGUUCAAGAAUAAGCUCUGGAAAAUCAACAAUUGGAGGAAUCUAGAAAAUCCUUCAACCCAGUUCAAGAUCAAAGCUGUGGAAAGUCAACAAAGCGCAACAAAAUACGUGUCGAUUCACCCACUACCAAAGCCAAAGAUCAUCUACCACAUGAAGCUCCUUGUGGUCCAAUUUCAACCUUCAAGAUCAAGCCUCGACGGCCCUUGAAGAAAUUUCAAAUAAAAGUUCAAGAACAAGCCUCAACGGCCCUUGAAGAAAUUUCAAACGAAAGUUCAAGAACAAGCCUCAACGGCCCUUGAAGAAAUCUCCAGCCCAAUUCAAGAUCAAGCCUCGACGGCCCUUGGAUCGACAUCUACAGUAAGGGACUUCAAAACGCAUCUCUUACACGUGACAAGCACAUGUAUACGACGCGCCUUGAAGUGGGGGCAUUUGUAGACAUCGAAAUUUCGGUAAAUAAAUGUUGACCGAUAAAUCAAAGUGUCAACGCUCAUGUAUUACAUAAAUUUUACACGUAGCGUGUGACUCAACGAAAAUUGAAAUAAGUUGGAAAAGUCAUCAAAUAGGACACGUGUCAACACCUGGCAGAAACGACUUAUUUCAUCUGGAAUAUUAUAUUCAAAAUUAGGCCUUGGAAAAUUCUAUAAAUACAAGCCCAUUUCAUUCAUUUGAAGAAACCAAUUCAUAUUACACCUUGAAGCUCUGAAGCUCUGAAACUCCGAAGCUCUCAAGCAUCCAGGUUCCCAAAGAAUCAAGAAAGUGUUCUUCGUUCUUCGUUCAUCGUUCUUCCAAGAUCAAGCCCCAACGGCCCUUGGAUCAACAAUCAUCCACCAAUUCAUAUUACACCUUGAAGCUCUGAAGCUCUGAAACUCCGAAGCUCUCAAGCAUCCAGGUUCCCGAAGAAUCAAGAAAGUGUUCUUCGUUCUUCGUUCAUCGUUCUUCCAAGAUCAAGCCCCAACGGCCCUUGGAUCAACAAUCAUCCACCUUCAAGAUCAACCCCCGACGGCCCUUGAAGAAAGCGUUCUUCGUUCUUCGUUCAUCGUUCUUCCAAGAUCAAGCCCCAACGGCCCUUUGGAUCAACAAUCAUCCACCAAUUCAAGAUCAAGCCCCGACGGCCCUUGAAGAAAGCACCAUCGUUCAUCAUCGUUCUUCCAAGAUCAAGCCCCAACGGCCCUUUGGAUCAACAAACGUCGACAAAUCCACACAUCCAACCGUUCUUCAAGAUUAAGCCCAAAAGCCCUUGAAGAUCUGUUCAUCACUGUUUCUUCAAGAUCAAGCCCAAAAGCCCUUGAAGAUCCGCUCAAAUCCACCUUCAAAGAUCAAGCCCACGGCCAUUUGAAGAAACUUCCAACAGUUCAUCCAAGAUCAAGCCCCGACGGCCUUUGGAUCAACGAAACAUCCCCAAAUCAACAUCUUACGGAGAUCGAAUCAGAUGAUCAAAAUAGAGAGAGAUUGUAACCCAAAAUAAUCAUCAAAUACAAAUAUUUGUUUGUGCACGUUCGUUCUUGUCUCUUUCGUUUCAGGAAUUUUCCGUGUUCACAGACGGUUCUAAGCAGUUGGGUUCCAGGGUUGGGGGAGGAUUCAGGUAAGAGGAUGAAGAGAAAUACUUUCUUGUUUUUGUCCGGAGUUCUUUAUAAGGAAGCCAAAUAAUAUAGAUUAUUAUAAAAGUAAAUAGUUACAAGUUAUUUCAAUUCUAGUGCAGCCUAUAUAAGUUUACUGGCUAGGCUUUUAACCUCGCAUUCUCGAUUCUCGCAAAUGGACUUAAAUAUUUACAAAUUAUUUCUAAUAAUGGAUGUAAUAAAAUUUAAUGACAGACCCUGACCCGAAAUGUCUACCUGGACUCCGAAUCAAGCUAUGAUGGCCGACACCAUAAGGGUGACGAAGCCAUGAAGUGUAAUGAUGUGAAUAAAUUUAAACCAAAAAAUGCCUAAAUAAAAGAGUGCGCUGGUGAGCAGGAAUGAACAUUUUCACACGUGAUGUCAGAGCAUAAUUAAAGUAUAAUAAAAAAGGAUAAGAAUUAUACCAUCAAAGGUAGCCACCUAUACUGAUAUUUGCCAAGAAUCCUCAUCGAUACAUAAGUUUGGCUGUUAAAACCUAGAAGGGCAAAAAAUAAGGGUGAGUGGAUCUGAAAAUAAAGUGUUAUAAAAACCUUUUCGAAAACAUAAUAACCUCUCACGUAACACAAGUAUAGUUUUCAAAGUAUACAUACUACGUAUAGUAAGAGAAUACUUAUCAUAGCAUGCAAGAUCCCAAGAAUUCAAUAUGGUAUAAUAUUUCAUAAAUAACAUAUAACAUCUGUAAUCACAUUUUACGAAACUAGUGUGCACGAUCCAACCGUAAAAUGUUUGCAUAAACUUGUAGAUCACGAACGCAAAAAAUCACCAAAAAGAACGUUCGGAGAUUAGGAAAUAGAUCGCAAACUUUCAAUGGUUAAAAAGAAAAAUUCACGAUUUAACGGUCGUUUUAGGUCCGAUUAGGAUCAUUUUUUGCAAAUAUAAUCGUUGACUCCAAAAUUAAGAUCAACGUCUAUGAUUAUGCAUUAAUUAUUUUAGAAAAAAGUAGAGCUAACAAAAACCUUAUAUUAUACUUAGUGGAAGUAUAGAAGAAACACAAAGUGUUUUGGUCUUGAAGCUUUUGAAUAAGACCCACAUUGUACGAAACUAGUGUGCACGAUCCAACCGUAAAAUGUUUGCAUAAACUUGUAGAUCACGUACGCAAAAAAUCACCAAAAAGAACGUUUGGAGAUUUGGCAAUAAAUUGCAGACUUUUGAUGGUUGGAAAGAAAAAUUCACGAUUGUGACAGUAGUGCACUUCUAAAACAAAAUUCCAGUUUUGUAUCACAUCGAUAUAAGCAUAACAGUAGUGCACAUAUUAGUAAUCCGCAAAGUAUGCAUUGUGCCAUUCAUAACCAAAAGUAAUGUUAUACAAUUGAACAAGCAGAAGUAAAACUACCCUAUGAAUGUAGGAAGUCCGCAUUAUUGCUAAGACCUUAGGAGGUGCAAAACAAAGUGUGAGUAGAUCACAAUUCUCAAGUCAAAAUCAUUUUCAACAUAUUAACUCCUACCGUUCUAUAAAACAUAUAUAGUUGGAAAACUAAAUAAUAAUAUCUACUACCAAAAUAAUGAAUGAAAAUUACAUUCAAAUCAUCAAUCGAAAACACUCAAGCAAUAGUUCAAAUAUCAUACCUAUAUUUAGUUAAUCACACUAACAUCUACGAACGUAAGUAUAUCAAGCAGGUUAAGCUAGCUUUUACUAGCAAAAUUCUCUACCACUAUCUAUCUGAAUUUCCUAGCAUGUACUAGAAAUAUAUAACACCUACAAAUAAUCUAAGGUCGAAAAUAGCUAUACAAAAUAUCACAUGAUGACCAUGUGAUGAAAAUAGAUCACCAAUAUGGACAAAUUCAAGUUUAUGGUUGUUUGACCAAUUUAUGUAAGUCUCAUCUGAGACUACCUUUAAAACAUAUUAUAAAUCAUAAUCAAUUCUUAUUUAAGUCUCAUUCAAAGACGAACUCAAUAAAAAAUAAUAUACAUCGACAUAUAUAUAUAUAUAUAUAUAUAUAUAUAUAUAUAUAUAUAUAUAUUAAAACUUUAGUUUUUGAAGGGAUCCACUCACCUUCACCUGACAAUUUCUUACACGACCCGUUAAUACAACACGUAAAUAAUACGAAAAUAACGGGUUUCGGUAACAUGAUAAGGACCCGUUACGGGUCCUUAACAGGUUUACACGAAGGUGACACACGGUAACCUGUUUCGACACGUUAAGAAAAAAGUUAUUUUGAUGAUUUUAAUUUUUAAAACGACUAAAAAAAACUUACUAUAAAUACAAUAGUCAUUGUGUAGAUGUAUAUAUUGUAUAUUAAAUAUGUAUUAUUGUAUUAUUAUUCUAUAUAAAUUUAAAAAAUUUAAGUUUUAUUUAUUUAUUUUUAUAGUAUGCUAUAGGUGUGAUAUCCUGUCUUGAAUUUUAUUGUAUUUUAUUCUCAGUAGUAAUAAAAUUAUCAAAAUACCCCUAAGAUGCCAUGUAGGCCUUCCACAUGGACCUCAAUUUUCCUUUCACUUUUCCCAUCUUAUUUUACUAUUUUUGAAUAGUACUCAUUUUUAAAGAAACGUGGCCGCAAACGGAACUCGAUUUGAAGUUAUAAAGAACAAGUUAUGUUCAAAACAGUACAAAUUCACCUAAAAGAGGUUCAAACUUUAAAAACCAAUCUUGUGCAGUCUGCAUCACUGCCUUGGUCUUACGUGGGAAACAUAUAUCAGCCUUCAAAGACGCUUAAUGAGGAAUGGUGUGCAAGUUGCUUUAAACAAAUAUUAUUUCGGAUUUUAGAAAAUACAUUGAAAACUUUGAGUUUUAACUAUAAAUACAAAAUAAAAAGUAAAGUGAAUUGUACUUGGAUUGACUUUUUAAUGUAAAAAUAUAAUUUUUCGUUGAAGUGAACAGUAACUGAAGCUUUUUGUUAAUGUUCCUUAUUUCUUUUUCUGAAACUUUCAUUCUCUCUCUCUCUUUUUCAGCUCUCCCCUGUGAGCUUUGGAAUCUUUGGAACUCAAGGGACCCAACCAUGGCCUUGCAUGCGGCAUUGGUGCAUGGUGCGAGGGUUUACCAUUGAAGCCGAGAGUUUGAGCUUUCAAUCUCGAACUUAGAUUCCAACAAAGGAAAACAGAUGAACUCUAACAAGUUCGAGAUCCAAUUCUCGGUGUAAUCUCGUGCAUUUCACUUGGGUAAGUUCUCAAUCCUAUUCUUAUGGUUUCUAACUUAUAAAUCGUGUUGGAAACCUUUCCGGUGAUACAUGCAUGUUGUCGGUGCAUUCUUCCAGAUUUACGACGAACUUAGGCUGCCACCUUCAGGCCACUUUCCGAUGAUCUUCGAACAACUUUUGGCCUUGAAAUAUGUAUAAUCUUAUUCCUCUUGUCUUAAGCUUUGUUUUGAUAUACUAUGGGUCAAUUUUGGUUGUGUAUCGUCUCCAAAAAAAGCGUUUGAAAUUCUCCCUAUAUUUUCGGCGAAAUUCCCUUUUUUGUGCAAACUAGGGGAAAUUUUAGAAAGGAUUGAUCUUGCUGCACUGUUUUUACAACAAGAACCAAACUGCAAAAAUUGCUGAAGCUUUAGGGCUGUUUGGGAAUUAUAAGAAGUUGAGAGCAUUUUUGCAAUUACCUAUAAUUUUAGGGACAAUUUUGUAAAAUGUGAAAUUUGGACAUAUUAUAGUUAAUUUGUCCAUUUUCCAUAUUAUUUACGUUUAAGUAUUUUGUGUACUUUGUUAAGUCAAUGUGACUGGGUAUAGGUACAAGCUUAUUCGGUUUGACGAAUGACGAGGCUUAUCGAGAGCAAGCAAGCUAUGAUUAUAUGAGUGGGUCUUUUUCUUUUUACGUGUAUAUAUAUGUAUAUGUGUUUUUCCUAACUACUUUUAUAUAUAUUAUGAUGUGACAUGCCAUGUUUAGCUUUACAAAUAGACUUUUCGUGCGCUUUAUGUUUUUUUAAUAUUAUUUGUGAGCAUAAAUUGUGGCAUGACAUUCUUACGUUUUAUCUGCUCAUUACUACAUGUUUGCACGAUAUCUCUUAGUUAUUUGUACUGUCAUGGGCCAAUGACUAGUUUAAUGUGUAGUUCACAUACACCGUUUACAUUCGCUUUGAAUCCAGAGUUAGGUGUGAGCAUGUCCUGUUGUAUGUUGUGUUGGACUUGUAUGUGUUGCGAUUAGCGCAACUCACGUGAUGUAGUACUAGAAUGUAAUACCUACACCUAACAUGUUCCAUUGUUUGAAUACCUCUGCAAUGGACUUGUGUGCGGACAUAAUUUGUGAGCAUUGAUUUUGCGAUUUGUGAUUUAAUGUUGAGAUACCUUGUUGUUAUGCCCUACACCUUUGACUCACUUCUGCUACAGGGUACUUACUACAUACCAUUAUUAUAAUAUUUAUAGGAAACCAUAUACUAGUUUUACAGCGAGGGGUUACAUUUUUCGAAAAGGUUUUACAAAACUUUAUUUUCAGGCCCACUCACCCUUAUUUUUCGUCAUUCCAGGAUUUUAGUGGCAAAGGUUUUGUGACGAGGAGGAUUGAUGGUAAAAGCUAUUAAUUAGGAGACUUCUCAUUUCGGUAUAAAUGCCCUUACUCUUCUUUUACUGCAAUUUAUCUAUACUCUGACAUCAUUUGCGUUAUAUGGGUUCAAUCCCGCUCACAUGCGCUCUAAAUGAUUCACAUUUUCCACAUCACUACACUUUAUAGAUUCGUCACCCUCCUGGUGUCGGCGUUCAAGUGGACAUUUCGGGUCAUGGUGUGUCACUAAAUUUUAUUACGUCCAUUAUUAGAAAUAAUUUGUAAAUAUUUAAGUCCAUUUGCGAGAAUCGAGAUUGUGAGGUUGGAAGCCUAGCUAGUAGACUUCUAUAAGCUACUUCAGAAUCGAAAUAAUUUAUAACUAUUUAUUUUUAUUUAUAUAAUAAUAUUUAUUUUUAUUAAUAUAGAUUAUUAUGUAAAUAAAAAUAAAUAGUUACAAAUUAUUUUGAUUCUGAUGUAGCUUAUAGAAGUCUACUAGCUAGGCUCCUAACCUUACAAUCUCGAUUCUCGGAAAUGGACAUAAAUAUUUACAAAUUAUUUAUAAUAAUGGAUGUAAUAAAAUUUAGUGACACAUCCCGACUCGGAAUGUCCACCUGGACUCUGAAUCGAGCUGUGUUGGUCGACAUUAGGAGGGUGACGAAGCCAUAAAGGGUAGUGACGUGGAAAAUGUGAAUAAAUUUAAACCUAAAAGUGUAUAAAUACAAAAGUAUACUACUGAGCAGGAAUGAACCUUUUCACACGUCGAUACGAAAGUUCAACUACUAAAACCUGGAAAGGUGAAAAAUAAGGGUGAGUGGACUUGAAAAAAAAAACGUCAUAAAAAUCUUUUCGAAAACAUAAUAACUCCUCACAUAAAGCAAGUAUAGUUUUCAAAAUAUCCAUACUACGUAUAGUAAGAGAAUACUUACCAUAGCCUACAAGAUCUCAAGAAUUCAAUAUGGCAUAAUAUUUCAUAAAUAACAUAUGAAGUCCGUAAUCGCAUAAGCAAUCAUAUCAUAGCAAGCACUCAUCGACGCAUGCUAACACAUGAGUUCAUGCAAAGAUAUUCUUAGCAAGCACUCAUCGACGCAUGCUGACACACGAGUUCAUGCAAAGAUAUUCUUACAUGAACAUGACUAGGUGUAACAAUGAUAUACGUUCUAGUACUACAAUCACAUGAAGGCUGGGGCUAUGCCCAGUACAUACAAGUCCUAAUUGUAUAUAGCAAUCUACGACAGGACUACCACCUACAAUGGAUCCAAAAUGAGCGUACGGUGUGAUGUGCACAUACACAUGAAAGACUAGUACUGAUCCGGGCGAGUACUAACACCGGUGCAGCAAACUAUGAGCAGAUAACGUAAACAUAGUCAUGCCACAGUAAUUCGAUAAUUCUAGUCAAUAUAUCAUUAUUCAUAAUCGUAAAUUUAACUAAAGCAUUUUGUAAGAUUUAUAGCGAUUUACUAAUUCUCAUUAUUACGCCAUCUACCAUAAACGUUAAUAUAAUUACGACAAUCAUAUAGAAAAAUUCAUUACUAGAUGUAUAUAUGAAAACUAUAUAUAUAUAUAUAUAUAUGUUUAUCAAAGAAAAAAACCCAUUCACAGAUAAUGUCGUCGAGUCAAACUCGCCUCGCAACACCGAGAGUCCUUUCGAUGCAUUUUGCCUAAAAAUGAAACUAUUUUAAAACGGUCGAAUUUCGAAAAAUGGAGGAUGGAUUCAGGUCCGACAUGUCAAGAAACCUAAGAAAGAAUCUUUGGCCCCUCCAUGCUCUGCCACAAGAUGGCUGCAUAGGCACGCACGCCCCCACGAGCCGAGCACAAGGAAGCUACCCACGCACGCACACCCCCACUUUUUUGUAGGUUGAACCGGCUACUUCCAGAGCUCAUAUCGAGCUCGAUUCUCCACCAAAAUCAAUUAUACAAGAACCUAAAUGAAGCUAGAAGUGUAGGGAAUAGAUUUAUACCCAUUUGAGGUCGUGUUAUUAUCGGAGUUCAUUGGAAAAGUGGUCUGAAAGUGGCCAAAUGGUCAUGGGUUAUUGUUGGAAAUCUGGAGAAUUUCAUCCCAACUUUUAGAGCUAAUUUCUAGUUAGAUACUUAACUUGAUGAUUCAAAAGCCAUUUUGAAAUGGUCGGAUGGCCAUAGUUCCUUGCUCAAAAUCUGGGGAUCUUUUCCUCGAGAUGUUUUUUUGCAUCAAAUUACACUUUGAAGUAUAAAUACCUUAUCAGAAGUUCCAAAAACAAUACGAUUUGAGGUUGUGGGCUUCCGAGGAUUACCCUUGGUCGGAAAACCGUAAACUGGCCGGAGUUAGCAAUGUUAGGUGUGCUACUGUUGUUGUGCAAUGGUCAAUGUUUCUGUGCAGGUGUGCAUCGAUAGUGGAAUGAGAAAAUAUAAGAAGGGGAGAGAUUGAAACAUGGUGGUGUAGUGGCCUGAGGACUCACCGAAGUCUGGCCUUGGCCUCCUUGGCUUUACAUAGAAGGAUAAGUGUUGGGGAGAACUAAAAGAGAGGGAAGGGAAAUGAUAAUCCGGCAGCCAAUGAGAGGUCCCAUAAAUAAUGGAGGGGACAUGGGAGGAAGGUAGAGGAAUGGAGGGUGGGCCCCACGUGGCACACAGCCCAAGGCCAUCAAUGGAGAAACAGAAAAAUAACGGAUCAUUUUUCUCUCGUACACGUGCAUUAAAUGUUAUAAAGUGUCAUUCUUCUGAUUAUGGGUUCAAACUUCAAAGCUGUCAAUAACAGAUCAUAUUUUUUUAUUCAACCAGGCUCAUAUCCUAGCUAGCUUAGAGCAAGUCCACCGAAGUGGACUUUGCCCAGGACCCAGCACAAAAACAAGGCCAGCACCCUGUCAAUCAAGUCUACCUCCUCAACUUGACUGGUACCCAGCCCGAGCUGGGCUUUGGACCAGCCCAAAAGAGACUAAGCAAGAAGCUGGGUUGUCUGCCUGGCGUGUGCGCUUCACGCAGGCGAACUCAGUUCCCCCCCCGAGUUGGCGACGUGGCUCCUUUUCUGCCGUUGGAUUUCCAAUGGCUAGUUUUCUAGACCGUUGGAUUUCCAACGGUAAAAAAAAUUUAAUUUUACUUUUAAAAUAGAUCGUCGGAUCAAAGAUUAACGGUCCACGUUUUUUCACAAAAAAGUAAAAAAAAAAAAAAGGCCCAACGGUCAGAAAUAUGACCGUUGGCCACGUGGCAACUCCUUGGCUCUUGGAUUUGAAUAUUUUUCAAAUCCAACGGUCCAGAUUAAUUAACUAUAUUAAAAAUUAUUAAAAAAUACAUAAAAUUUAUUAAAAAUACAUAAAAUUUUUAAAAAAUUACAUAAAAUUUUGAAAAAUGUUAAUUUUUUUCCUAUAAAUACCUAACCCUCAUCUUCCACCUUUACACCACAUUUCAAUAUUUUCUACACUUUCUAUACUAUCUACAUUUCAAUAUUUUCUACACUUUAAGAGAAAAAAAUGUCUUCGUGGAAGCUCAUUGAAGAUAUUACGUUGUGUGAAUGUUGGUUUCACACUACUCAUGACCCGAUUACGGGUAAGGAGAUGGAUAAGCGAGAAAUGUGGAGUAAAAUUACGAAAGCGUUUUGCGAUGUACAUGGAGAAAACGCCAGAAACUAGUCAAGGUCUUCAAGGUCGUUGGAAAAAACUCAACGCAUCUUUUACUUGUUGGAAAAACGCCAUCUCUCAUGCUUCCAGUAACCUCCGUAGUGGGACAAGUUUAGCGGAUCAGGUGACAAUAUUUUUAUUUAUUUAUAUGCAUUCCACCCACAUCAAUAUUUUGAUUUAUUUAAUUUCGUAUGUAAUUUUUAUGUUAUUUCUUAUGUAAUUUUUAUAUGCAUUCCACCCGCAUCAAAAUUUUAAUUUAUUUAAUUUCUUAUGUAAUUUUUAUUUAAUUUCUUAUGUCAUUUUUAUGUAAUUUAUAUGCAUUCCACCCAUAUCAAUAUUUUGAAUUUAUUUAUUUGUGUUACACCCGCAUUUUUUAACACUAUGUUAUCUCACAUUUUUAUAGACACUACAAGCUCAAGCAUUCUACAAUUCAAAGAACGGGAACAAAUCAUUCACUAGAUGGGAAUGUUAGCAAAUUGUCAAAGAUUGCCCUAAAUACAAAAUUGUGGCAACUGGUCCAGAAGUUGUCAUGCACGGUAUGGGUCUACAUAGUUCUCCAGAACCAGACAUGGCCGAACAAAAAGCCGACACAUUUCAAGACACGGAAGGGACGCCUGAACAAGUGCCCGAGACCCAACCGACUCGUCAGUCCCUCAGGCCCGUAGGUAAAAAGGCGUCAAAGAAAAAAGGUAGUUCUUCCAAAAAUGACUACACUAAAUAUAUGGAGGAACUUGCUCGCCAAGGUGAACUGAACAUGGCACGGGAAAAGGUUAGAGAUGAGGAAAAAGUUGCUGCUAUGGCAGCAAUAGUAGCAGCUACUAAGGCCCGUGAUGCGGCGGUUGAGAGACAAAGAGAAGUAGUUAAUCGAGAGAGCGAGCUGGUUAGAGAAGCACUUCAUCGAGAAAAUGAAUUGCUUCGAGAAGAAAGGAUGGCUCAAGUAGAUCGUGACAUUAUGAGCAAGUCUCUAGUAGGAUUGUCUCCGAAUUCUAAAUAUUUUUGGACAUCGGAAAAAAGAGAUGUCAUGCGAAGGAGGCGUGCAAGAGAUGCGGAAACAAGUCAAGGGGGUUCUAGUUACACAAAUCAUGGCAACCAAGAUCCUAGCACCACAUAUCCUAACUCGAGAGAUUUUGUAUAAUUUUUAUGUAUUUUUUAUGUUUUUUCUUUCUUUUUUCUUUUGAACUUUAUUUAAUUUCUUAUGUUUUUUCUUUUUAUAGGUUUGAACUUUAUUUAAUUUCUUAUGUAAUUUUUAUGUUAUUUCUUAUUUAUUUUUAUUUAAUUUAUUAUGCAAUUUUAAUGUAAUUAUUUAUUUAUUUAUUUAUUUUUAAAAUUUUAUUUAUUUUGUACUUUAUUUAAACACAUGAAAUAAGAUUACAUAAACUCACCAAAUAAAUUUGAAAACAAAACACACUACAUAGAAUUACAUAAACUCACCAAAUAAAUAGAAUUACAUAAACUCACCAAAUAAACUUAAAAACAAAACACACUACAAACUUAAAAACAAAACACACUACAUAGAAUUACAUAAACUCACCAAAUAAAUAGAAUUACAUAAACUCACCAAAUAAACUUAAAAACAAAACACACCACAUAGAAUUACAUAAACUUAAAAAAAAAUACAAUUUAUUCUUCAACCACAAGCCUCAUUCUAAUUAUCUUCGCCUUCAUGCAAUCCCCACUGGUGCUCAAUCAAGUCAUUCUGGCGGGUUACGUGCCAGUAUGGCUCUUGCACAUUAGUGUACCGCUGAACGAUCAAUUCAUUGUAACGUCCAUCACGUUCCAACGGCUCGUGUUGCACUGGAUCUUCGGUCCGGUCAUGAGCACAAUAGAUACGUGUUCUUGAGUUGUUCAUCGGAUCCGGCUCAUAUUCAUCGACAGCAUCAUAAUCAUACUCAUCUUCAACAAUCAUGUUGUGGAGAAUAAUACACGUCAUCAUGAUGGAUCGAAGAGCCUCGACAUCAAACAUUCUAGCUGCAGCCCUGAUAAUCGCCCAACGAGCUUGCAGGAUACCAAAACAACGCUCGACAUCCUUCCUACACCCUUCUUGACAGUUUGCAAAGUGUUUUUCCUUUUCAGUCUGUGGAUGUGGCACUGUUUUGACAAAUGUUGACCACCUUGGGUAAAUGCCAUCUGCAAGGUAGUAUGAUCCCUCGUAUUGGGUACCAUUAACCCAAUAUGUGCAUCUCGACGAGUUUCCUUGCAGCAGUUCGUCGAACACUGGGGAUUGGGCAAGGACAUUUAGGUCAUUCUAAGCUCCUGGAACACCAAAAAAAGCAUGCCAAAUCCAUGUAUCAAAUGAAGCCACCGCUUCCAAAAUGAUGCUUUUGGCUCAUUUUCUGUCGCCAUAUGCUCCUUGCCACGCACUUGGACAAUUUUUCCAAGUCCAGUGCAUGCAGUCGAUGCUUCCAAUCAUGCCAGCGAAGCCUCGCAUCUCACCCUUCCUCAGAAGCCUUCGCAUUUUCCUUGGUGUGGGUGUCCGGAGGUACUCAUUGGUGUAGAGGGCUUCAAUUGCAGAGCAAAACUGCAUCAGGGACUCCAGAACAGUUGUUUUUCCCAUCCUCGCGAUCUCAUCCACUUGAUCUGCAGAUGCUCCAUAUGCAAGCAUUCGCAAGGAUGCCGUAAUUUUUUGCUCGGGAAUAAGACCUAGAACAUGAAAAGCAUCAUCUUUUUGCACAAUGUAUGAAUCAUGGUUGCAAAUAUCACUCAUGAUUUUGUUGAACAAAUUUCGUUGCAUUCUAAAACGCCGUUUAAAAAUAUGAUCAGAGAAUAUGCUAUUGGGAAUAAAAUAAUCUUCCAAUAGAUUUUUACCUCGUUUUUCCCUUUUUUCUAUCGAGGUUUGCAACACGUCUUGGUUUGGCUAUUUGACUCACGGCUUCCAUGACACGGCGGGAAUGUGAGGUCUUCUGCCUUCUAUGGUGAUCAUCCUCAUCCUCCUCCAUGAAGAAAGCCUCAUCUCCACCUCCACCUUCCUCGAGAUUGGCCAAUUCUGCCUGUUGUGCCAACAACCUUUGUUGUUGCUCCUGCAACUGUUUAUACACCCUUCUUGAAGAAGACAUUGUAAUAAGAACUCAAGAUUUGAAAACGAUGAACAAGGAUUCUGAGCUAAAAAGAAGGAUUGAGCUUGGUGUGAGGAUGGAUGUAGGGUUUAUAUGGACAAAAAAAAAAGGAUGAGGUUCUGGACAAUGCCAUGUGGCACUACGUGAUUGGUUGAAAAUCUUAUCAAAAUCUUGGCUAAAUUAUUGUAAACCGGAGGUGACACGUGGCGUGUCGGGAUUGGUCGAAAAUAUUAUUGGAAAUCUAUCCACAAAAUAGUACGUUCGGAUAAUGAUACGUGGCAUGACGUGAUUGGUGGAAAAUCUUAUCGAAAUCUUGGCUAAAUUAUUGUAAAACGGAAGUGACACGUGGCGUGUCGCGAUUGGUUGAAAAUCUUAGCGGAAAUCUAUUCACAAAAUAGUACGUUCAGAUAAUGACACGUGGCGUGACGAGAUUACUGUGAUUUUCACUAGGUGCCAACACAUCUUUUUAGAGGUGGAGAUGUCUUGGCCUAUUACUGUUCAUUGGAGUAUGUUACUGUUCACUUGAGUGGAUAAAUGUGCUGGGUGCUGACGCAAAGUCCUUAGGGGUGGACUUGCUCUUAGUUACGAAACUUCCUAGCUAACCCUUCUUCCAGUCUGAAUCUCAGUAAGUUAGGCUUUUUUUUCAAAACAAGGUCAUAGUUAUUUUUAUAUUUGAUUAUAAUAUGGUAGUUUUGAUGAUUUUACAUUUAUUCAUAUAUUUUGAUUUUUUUUAUCCCCAGACCAAUUUCUCUCCUCAAAUUGUGAGUAUUUGAUGACAUAAUUACAUUUGUACAUUGUUUUAUUCAUGAACGAUUUGCAGUUAAAUGAUGAAGUGUUGAUGGAAUACUAGCUUGGGUACACGCAUUAUGUAUAAAUCAGAAAUAAAAUGUUUUUUUUAGCAUUUUUCUGAUAACAACCAUAUAUUUUGUGAUUAUUAGGUGUAAGAGGGAUGAUUUUCACGCGUCAUUUUCAACUUCUCACAUAUUCUCUAUUUAUUUUGAUUGUCAGAUAAAAUAAAUCAUACGAGAACAACAAAUUAACAAGCUUGUGUUUGAGCGUGAAAAAUGUCUGUUUACGGAGAAAACUAAAGUCUAUCCCGUAAAUAAUCAUGUGACAAUAUCAUUGAUCCAUCUCAAUCCUAACUGCAUGGUUUACUAAUAUGUUGUGUUUUGAGUUGAUGCACAUAAGUAGUGAACAUAACUAUUAAGAAAUAAGAAAAAAAAUAUUUAAUUUCUUCAUGUUAUAAUUGUAAAACUUUAUUAGCCUACAUAGAAUAAAACACAAGUAAAUAAUAACUCACCCGAAGAUGCUAUGGACAAAGGCUUGGUAUGCAAAAAGUCUACGUUGUACUAAUUCUUAGAAAUCAAACCGUGUGGAGAGUUUGUGAAUAUUGUGUAUAUCAGCAAAGGCAAGGACCUUCACUUAUAUAAGCAUGCUAACCUAAUUAAUAGGCUUAGCUAAUCAUUGAGGCCUAAUAGUAGCUAGGUAACUGAAUAUGUCAAUAUCUCUUCAACCAAUCAGGAUUAGGAACCCUUUAGCAAGAAUAGUAACUUGAAUAUUACAUUCCCCUUGCAACAGGUAAAGUCCAAGUUAACUCCCUAACCCUGACUUGAUCCUCAAGUAAUGUACAAUGAUUUUUUUUAUUUUUUUUUUGUUCCCUAUCCUUCAAGGGUCAUAAAUUAUUGUACUAAGACCAUCUCUAACCGAAGGGUCCAGAGGGUCAAAGGAUCGAAAAUUGCCCAAAAAUCAUCUCCAACCGAGGGCUAGGCCAGAGGGUUCGUGGGCCCCACGGAAUCUGAAAUGGCCAAAGGGGCAACCGACUGGCCCAAUCCAGCUAGCCUCGGGCUAGGCAAAAAUUUUGAUUAAUCCUGUCGGAUAUAACCGACGUGAAUGGUUGCCAAAAUUUGAAAUUCAACUGCUAGUUACCAUUGGAUUUAAAUGUUUUUUUUUUUUUUGGGCCAAAUUUUUGUUUAUGAAAUUUAAAAAUUCCUUUUUUUUUUUCCUAAGCCAUUUCUACAUCAUUUUAAAUUUUAAAUCAUGCCUUGGUUUAUGAAAUUUAAAAAUUCCCUUUUUUUUUUUUCAAGCAAUACCUAAGUCAUUCUUACAUCAUUUCUCACACAAUUUUCACCAUUACAUAGUAUCUCACUUCAUUCUAUUUCAAUUCUUCACAUUAUAUUUUCUUACCUCUUCCAAUAAUUUUUCCUUCAAUUUUUUUCAAUAACAUUAAUAACAUUAAACAAUAUUAAACAACAUUAAAUAACAUUAAACAACAUAAAAAUUAUACAACAUAAAAAAAAAAUAUUUAACAACAUGAAACUUAAACAACAUUUUGAAAAAUAUUUAACAAUAUAAAACUUGAACUUCUACUCCAUGCUAUUUUUGGGCCAAAGAUGUGCAACAAUAUCCACCAUAUUUAUAGCCCAAAAAAAUUCAAAUCCAACGACUAGCUGAUGUCAUCUACCAACGGCUAGUUGACGUCAUGCUAACGUCACUUACCUGUUGGAUUUGAAUUUAAAUUGUAGUUUUUAAAUAAUAAAUUAAGUUUGGCCCUAUAGCCCUUUAGCUCUCGGUUGGAGACGGUUUUUUGUGACAGGGCUAAAACGAGCCAUAUGGCCCUUUGAUUCUCGGUUGGAGAUGAAGGCAAAUAUGACCAUGUACUGUUCAUUAAAAUAUUAAUAUCUUGGAGGGCCAGAGGGCUAAAACGUAGCCCUCUGACCAGCCCUCGGUUAGAGAUGGCCUAACCCUUGGCCCCGGUUCACACCCGAGUCUGGACCAAUCAUUUGAGAUAUUUAUGCAGGUUUAGAUGGACCAAAUUACCUUAACCAACCCGAUCAUCAAUGCAUGUUGAUUUAGAAACCAAACAGCAGAUUGAAAAAACUGCGGUUCACUCAUGUUUCUUCCAGAAACCACUAAUUAACUCUGUUUUUUUAUACUCUAGUGAUUUUGCAUAUAUAGUUUACAGCAAGUCCUUUAGCCUUGCAGUAUUCGUGAAUUUCUCCCCUUCAGAUAAUAAAAAAGGAAUUAUAACUUGUUGGCAGACAGAAAAAAUAAUCAAGCAUUUGUUGUCCACUCAAAUUCUUCAUAUUUUCUUUUCAUAGCUUAAUGUAUAAAGUUCUAAACUCUGGAUAAAGGAUUUGAAUUUCUGUGUGCAGAGGAGCUAUACUGCCAUAGCUAAAUUAAGGAGAUAAUUACUUUAUUAUUUGUUAUUGUAACAAAAGAGAUACAAUAAAACAUCUCUAAAGUAAUACUCUAUAAUGGAAUAAGCUCUUUCAAGUCAUAAAAAGUUCCAGUCCCAACUUGAGACUAAUUUUCUACAAAAUAAACUUCAUAUUGUUGUAAAUUAUAUUUCUUUUUUGUCUCGUCCUAAGGAAGCAUGCCUCCACAUAAGAUAACUACAACAACAACAACAACAACAAAGCCUUUUCCCACUAAGUGGGGUCGGCUAUAUGAAUCCUAGAACGCCAUUGCGCUCGGUUUUGUGUCAUGUCCUCCGUUAGAUCCAAGUACUCUAAGUCUUUUCUUAGAGUCUCUUCCAAAGUUUUCCUAGGUCUUCCUCUACCCCUUCGGCCCUGAACCUCUGUCCCGUAGUCACAUCUUCGAACCGGAGCGUCAGUCGGCCUUCUUUGCACAUGUCCAAAUCAUCGGAGCCGAUUUUCUCUCAUCUUUCCUACAAUUUCGGCUACUCCUACUUUACCUCGGAUAUCCUCAUUCCCAAUCUUAUCCUUUCUCGUGUGCCCACACAUCCCACGAAGCAUCCUCAUCUCCGCUACACCCAUUUUGUGUACGUGUUGAUGCUUCACCGCCCAACAUUCUGUGCCAUACAACAUCGCUGGCCUUAUUGCCGUCCUAUAAAAUUUUCCCUUGAGCUUCAGUGGCCUACGACGGUCACACAACACGCCGGAUGCUCUCUUACACUUCAUCCAUCCAGCUCGUAUUCUAUGGUUGAGAUCUCCAUCUAAUUCUCCGUUCUCUUGCAAGAUAGAUCCUAGGUAGCGAAAACGGUCGCUUUUUGUGAUCUUCGCUAGAUUGCUCCCGGUCAUUAGUGUGGAUAAGUAUAUAAAUGGAUAGAGAUAGGAAAGCAAACACAAGAUGUACGUGGUUCACCCAGAUUGGCUACGUCCACGGAAUAGAAGAGUUCUCAUUAAUUGUGAAGGGUUUACACAAGUACAUAGGUUCAAGCUCUCCUUUAGUGAGUACAAGUGAAUGAUUUAGUACAAAUGACAUUAGGAAAUAUUGUGGGAGAAUGAUCUCGUAAUCACGAAACUUCUAAGUAUCGGAGUGUGGUGUCGUCUUGACUUGCCUUAAUCUGUCUCAUAGGUAGAUGUGGCAUCUUCUCUGGAAGUACUUUUCCUCCAUCCAGGGGUGGUAUCUUUAACUGGUGGAGAUGCACAAGGUAAUGUAUCAAUUUCACUUGAAGCUUACUUGUAGUUUCAGGCUUGGUCAAGCGCGAUACAAACCAUGUAGUAGGAGUCCCCCAAGUCGCCGAGCUAGGGGUCUGCUGAAAGAGGUGACAGACAAGGUAAGCAAUCAGAGCUCCGACUGAUUGUUCACCUUCUCCCCAUCUUGCAGCAGCAUGAAGGAUAAAGAGAAGAAAAAAUGAGAAGAGAUGAUAUGAGAUACUUUUGCUUUUGAAGAAGUAACUUUCCACAGGCUUAUUCUUGAACUGAGCUGGAGGGUUUUCUGGUUUCCUCCAGAGUAUAAGGCCGACUGAAGAAUUUGAGGGUCAAAACAAGUCCAUCAAAUCUAGAGUACGUUCCACCCUGCUGAUAUGGGAUACUUUUGCUUUUGACAGAGUAAUGGAUGUAUCGGCACGUGUGCUGUUACGCUUGUCUCCACAUGCUUCCUUGUAUCCUUCGCACUUGCCCUAUCUGUUCCUCAAGCAGAUGCGGAAUCUUCCGUGGAAACAUAAGAUGUUGAAGAUGAGUACUCGAGAGCAAUGCCAGGUAAGUAAUCAGGUAAGGGGUUCCAGGCAGUCAGUUCCUGGCUGGAAGCUUGAUUCCAAGUGCUGACUGAUUGCUCUCUUUCUCCUUGUCUUGCAGGUAAAAACAAGGCCAAAGGAAAAGACAGGGAAAAAGCAUGAUAUGGGAUACUCUUGCUUUUAACCCUGAUGAUAUGAGAUAUUCUUGCUCUAGUAUAGCUUGUUUGCAGAGGUAUUAUCGGGGGGAAAGAAAGCUGAAUAUUUCGAAAGGCUUCGUUGGGAGUGCCCUCUCAGAUAUGAUGAAGGGUUGAGCAUUUUUGCAGGUCUGCCUGUCCGUUGGGGAUGGAGGUCGACAUAUAUAGGAGUCUCCCUAACAACAAGUAGUAAUGUUAUUCCUUUACCCUGCUUGGUCAUAGCACGGUAGUGGGAGCUGUCAGUUUCACAUGUUUUAACUCUGUCAGAGCACUUUGAAAAAGUGGUCUGUGGUAUCUGGCUCUCGAGAUUCGGAGAACGAUGCCUCUUUGAUUUUUGAGAAAGCAAUCAUGCUGGGGGUCUGGCUCUCGAGAUUCGGAGAGCAGUGUCUCUUCGAUUUUUGAGGAAGUAAUCAUGUUGGGAGUCUGGCUCUCGAGAUUCGGAGGGCGGUGCCUCUUCGAUUUUGGAGCAAGCAAUCUUGUUGGGAGUGUUGUCUCGAAUGUGCGUAAAGGUUGGGCAUGUUUGCUAGUCUACCUUGCCACGAAGCACAAAGGUUGACACACAGGGACUUUCCAAUUAUCCAGCAAUGGUACUGUUCCUUUACCCUCUCUUCGAUUUUGAGAAAGUAGUCAUGUUGGGAGUCUGGCUCUCGAGAUUCAGAGGACGGUGCCUCUUCGAUUUUGGAGCAAGCAAUCUUGUUGGGAGUGUUUUCUCGAAUGUGAGUAAAGGUUGGGCAUGUUUGCUAGUCUACCUUGCCACGAAGCACAGAGGUUGACACACAGGGACUUUCCAAUUAUCCAGCAGUGGUACUGUUCCUUUACCCUUGUGGGUAAUAAUAUGGUAGCUAGACCUUCAAAAUUUAUGUGUCUAAACUUUGUUAGUGCUGUUUCUUUGCUAUUCUUUUACCUUUCUUGGUCAGAGCGAUUUAGUGGGAGCUGCAAGCUUCACGUGCUCAACUUUGGCAGAGAACUUUGGCAAAGUUAUUUGUGGUACCCAUGAGCUAUUGUUGCGUGUGGGAAGUGGGUAAUUGAACAGUAAGAUUCAUGUGCUUUCUACUUCACCAGAAAUCUUCGACAGAAUGCCCAUAAUUUCUGCAAAGCUGAGUGUGCGUGUGACAGGUGCUGACAAGGCUAGAAAAGUAGGUGCCUCUUCGAUUUCUGAGAUCGGCCCUCGUGGUCUCUGAGCAGCCCAGCUUUUGAGAAAGCGAGCGCCUCUUCGAUUGAUUCGGAGAACGAUGCCUCAUCGAUUUUUGAGAAAGCAAUCAGGCUGGGGGUCUGGCUCUCGAAGAUUCGGGGAGCAGUGUCUCUUCGAUUUUUGAGAAAGUAAUCAUGUUGGGAGUCUGGCUCUCGAGAUUCGGAAGGCGGUGCCUCUUCGAUUUUGGAGCAAGCAAUCUUGUUGGGAGUGUUUUCUCGAAUGUGAGUAAAGGUUGGGCAUGUUUGCUAGUCUACCUUGCCACGAAGCACAGAGGUUGACACACAGGGACUUUCCAAUUAUCCAGCAAUGGUACUGUUCCUUUACCCUCUCUUCGAUUUUUAAUAAAGUAGUCAUGUUGGGAGUCUGGCUCUCGAGAUUCGGAGGACGGUGCCUCUUCGAUUUUGGAGCAAGCAAUCUUAUUGGGAGUGUUUUCUCGAAUGUGAGUAAAGGUUGGGCAUGUUUGCUAGUCUACCUUGCCACGAAGCACAGAGGUUGACACACAGGGACUUUCCAAUUAUCCAGCAGUGGUACUGUUCCUUUACCCUUGUGGGUAAUAAUAUGGUAGCUAGACCUUCAAAAUUUAUGGGUCUAAACUUUGUUAGUGCUGUUUCUUUGCUAUUCUUUUACCCUUCUUGGUCAGAGCGAUGUAGUGGGAGCUGCAAGCUUCACGUGCUCAACCUUGGCAGAGAACUUUGGCAAAGUUAUCUGUGGUACCCAUGAGCUAUUGUUGCGUGUGGGAAGUGGGUGAUUGAACAGUAAGAUUCAUGUGUUUUCUACUUCCCCAGAAGUCUUCGACAGAAUGCCCAUAAUUUCCGCAAAGCUGAGUGUGCGUGUGACAGGUGCUGACAAGGCUGGAAAAGUAGGUGCCUCUUCGAUUUUUGAGAUCGGCCCUCGUGGAUCUCUGGGGAGCCCAGCUUUUGAGAAAGCGAGCGCCUCUUCGAUUUCUGAGAUCGGCCUUCGUGGUCUUUGAGCAGCCCAACUUUUGAGAAAGCAAACGCCUCUUCGAUUUCUGAGAUCAACCCUCGUGAUCUCUAAGCAGCUCAGCUUUUGAGAAAGCAAACGCCUCUUCGAUUUCUGAGCAGGCGCCUCUUCGAUUUCUGAAGCUCCGUCGAGUGCAGAUUUUAUAGGGGCUGGCAUUAAGUUCCAAAGCACACUUAAAUCUCCACCAGUAGAAGCUUCAUUCUUGCACUUCUAAGAUCUUGAUUUGUCCGACCUCUUCUCUCUUCAACACCUUUGAAAAUGUCUGGCCCCUCCGACCGUCGUUUUGACUUGAACCUUGUUGAAGAGGCAGCCCCGCCUUCUCCAGACAACAUAUGGCGCCCAUCCUUCGUCUCCCCUACUGGUCCUCUUACCGUUGGGGAUUCCGUGAUGAAGAAUGAUAUGACCGCUGCGGUGGUGGCCAGGAACCUUCUCACUCCCAAAGAUAACAGACUACUUUCCAAACGGUCUGAUGAGUUAGCUGUUAAGGAUUCGCUGGCUCUCAGUGUUCAGUGUGCAGGUUCUGUGUCUAAUAUGGCCCAACGCCUAUUUGCUCGAACCCGCCAAGUUGAAUCAUUGGCGGCUGAAGUGAUGAGUCUCAAACAGGAGAUUAGAGGGCUCAAGCAUGAGAAUAAACAGUUGCACCGGCUCGCACAUGACUAUGCUACAAACAUGAAGAGGAAGCUUGACCAGAUGAAGGAAACUGAUGGUCAGGUUUUACUUGAUCAUCAGAGAUUUGUGGGUUUGUUCCAAAGGCAUUUAUUGCCUUCGUCUUCUGGGGCUGUACCGCGUAAUGAAGCUCCAAAUGAUCAACCUCUGAUGCCUCAUCCUUCUAGGGUUCUGUCCAGUACUGAGGCUCCAAAUGAUCCCCCUCCGGUGCCUUCUCUUUCUGGGGCUCUACCGACUGCUGAGACUUCUCCUAAGCAACCUUUGUGAAGGCUCCCUCUUGUGUGUUUAUUUUGACUCAUGUAUAUGUACAUAUUUGUAGCUUAUCGGGGAUAUCAAUAAAUAAGCUUUCCUUCAUUUCAACGUAUUGUGUUAAAUACACCAAAGCCUUCUUCGCUAAGUUCUUUGAAUUUUCUUUUGUUGAAGCUUGUAUGUUGAAGCUUUCUGAGUGGAGCAUGUAGGUUGGGGUAGUGUUCCCUUAAUUUCCCGAGUGAGGAGAACUUCUCAGUUGGAGACUUGGAAAAUCCAAGUCACUGAGUGGGAUCGGCUAUAUGAAUCUUAGAACGCCAUUGUGCUCGAUCCUGUGUCAUGUCCUUCGUUAGAUCCAAGUACUCUAAGUCUUUUCUUAGAGUUUCUUCCAAAGUUUUCCUAGGUCUUCCUCUACCCCUUCGGCCCUGAACCUCUGUCCCAUAGUCGCAUCUUCUAAUCGGAGCGUCAGUAGGCCUUCUUUGCACAUGUCCAAACCACCGUAACCGAUUUUCUCUCAUCUUUCCUUCAAUUUCGGCUACUCCUACUUUACCCCGAAUAUCCUCAUUCCUAAUCUUAUCCUUUCUCGUGUGCCCACACAUCCAACGAAGCAUCCUCAUCUCCGCUACACCCAUUUUGUGUACGUGUUGAUGUUUCACCGCCCAACAUUCUGUGCCAUACAGCAUCGCCGGCCUUAUUGCCGUCCUAUAAAAUUUUCCCUUGAGCUUCAGUGGCAUACGGCGGUCACACAACACGCCGGAUGCACUCUUCCACUUCAUCCAUCCAGCUUGUAUUCUAUGGUUGAGAUCUCCAUCUAAUUCUCCGUUCUUUUGCAAGAUAGAUCCUAGGUAACGAAAACGGUCGCUCUUUGGUAUUUCUUGAUCUCCGAUCCUCAACCCUAACUCGUUUUGGCCUCCAUUUGCACUGAACUUGCACUCCAUAUAUUCUGUCUUUGAUCGGCUUAGGCGAAGACCUUUAGAUUCCAACACUUCUCUCCAAAGGUUAAGCUUUGCAUUUACCCCUUCCUGAGUUUCAUCUAUCAACACUAUAUCGUCUGCGAAAAGCAUACACCAAGGAAUAUCAUCUUGAAUAUGUCCUGUUAACUCAUCCAUUACCAACGCAAAAAGGUAAGGACUUAAGGAUGAGCCUUGAUGUAAUCCUACAGUUAUGGGAAAGCUUUCGGUUUGUCCUUCAUGAGUUCUUACGGCAGUCUUUGCUCCUUCAUACAUAUCCUUUAUAGCUUGGAUAUAUGCUACUCGUACUCCUUUCUUCUCUAAAAUCCUCCAAAGAAUGUCUCUUGGGACCCUAUCAUACGCUUUUUCCAAAUCUAUAAAGACCAUGUGUAAAUCCUUUUUCCCAUCUCUAUAUCUUUCCAUCAAUCUUCGUAAGAGAUAGAUUGCCUCCAUGGUUGAGCGCCCUGGCAUGAACCCGAAUUGGUUGUCCGAAACCCGUGUCUCUUGCCUCAAUCUAUGCUCAAUGACUCUCUCCCAGAGCUUCAUUGUAUGACUCAUUAGCUUAAUACCCCUAUAGUUCAUGCAAUUUUGUACGUCGCCCUUAUUCUUGUAGAUAGGGCACCAAAGUGCUCGUUCGCCACUCAUUUGGCAUCUUCUUCGUUUUCAAAAUCCUAUUGAAAAGGUCAGUGAGCCAUGUUAUACCUGUCUCUCCCAAAAGUUUCCACACUUCGAUUGGUAUAUCGUCUGGGCCUAUUGCUUUUUUUAUGCUUCAUCUUCUUCAAAGCUACAACCACUUCUUCCUUCCGGAUUCGACGAUAAAAAGAGUAGUUUCUACACUCUUCUGAGUUACUCAACUCCCCUAAAGAAGCACUCAUUUCAUGUCCUUCAUUGAAAAGAUUAUGAAAAUAACCUCUCCAUCUGUCUUUAACCGCGUUCUCUGUAGCAAGAACCUUUCCAUCCUCAUCCUUGAUGCACCUCACUUGGUUUAGGUCCCUUGUCUUCUUUUCCCUUGCUCUAGAUAGUUUAUAGAUAUCCAACUCUCCUUCUUUGGUAUCUAGUCGUUUAUACAUAUCGUCGUAAGCCGCUAACUUAGCUUCUCUGACAGCUUUCUUCGCCUCUUGCUUCGCUUUUCUAUACCUUUCACCAUUUUCAUCGGUCCUCUCCUUGUAUAAGGCUUUACAACAUUCCUUCUUAGCCUUCACCUUCGUUUGUACCUCCUCAUUCCACCACCAAGAUUCCUUUUGGGUGUGGGGCAAAGCCCUUGGACUCUCCUAAUACCUCUUUUGCUACUUUUCGGAUACAACUAGCCAUGGAAUCCCACAUUUGGCUAGCUUCCCCCUCUCUAUCCCACACACAUUGGGUGAUUACCUUCUCUUUGAAAAUGGCUUGUUUUUCUUCUUUUAGGUUCCACCAUCUAGUCCUUGGGCACUUCCAAGUCUUGUUCUUUUGUCUUACUCUUUUUGAUAUGUACAUCCAUCACCAACAAGCGAUGUUGAUUAGCCACGCUCUCUCCUGGUAUAACUUUGCAAUCCUUACAAGUUAUACGAUCCCCUUUCCUCAUUAGAAGAAAAUCUAUUUGUGUUUUUGACGACCCACUCUUGUAGGUGAUCACAUGUUCUUCUCUCUCUUCUUAAAGAAGGUGUUGGCUAAGAAGAGAUCAUAUGCCAUUGCAAAAUCCAAGAUAGCUUCCCCAUCCUCGUUUCUCUCCCCAAAACCAUGGCCACCAUGAAAACCUCCAUAGUUGCCUGUCUCCCUGCCCACGUGUCCAUUUAAAUCUCCUCCUAUAAAUAACUUCUCCGUCUGAGCAAUUCCUUGCACCAAGUCUCCAAGAUCUUCCCAAAAUUUCUCCUUCGAACUCGUAUCCAACCCUACUUGAGGUGCGUACGCACUAAUCACAUUGAUAAGUUCUUGUCCUAUUACAAUCUUGAUUGCCAUGAUUCUAUCUCCUACCCUCUUGACAUCUACAACAUCUUGUACCAAGGUCUUGUCCACGAUGAUGCCAACACCGUUUCUCGUUCUAUUUGUGCCCGAAUACCAAAGUUUAAACCCUGAGUUUUCUAGAUCCUUUGCCUUACUACCAACCCACUUAGUUUCUUGUAGGCACAUAAUAUUUAUCCUUCUCCUCACCAUAACUUCCACUACUUCCAUAGAUUUUCCCGUUAAGGUUCCUAUAUUCCACGUUCCUAAACGCAUUUUGCUCUCUUGAACUCUACCCUUCUGUCCUAGCUUCUUCACCCCCCCCGUCUAAUAGGAUCAAAGUACUUCUUUUGUGUGUCCCGGGUAAAGUUGAUAGGAGCAUAUGCUCCCAAACAACUUUGAGUGGAGUCGUUCGAAAAGAAGUUUCUAUGGCCCCCUUGCUCAUUUAACACUGCAUCCGGGUGCCGAUGGAGAUACAGCGACCCUUGCUCACUUAUCACUGUGCUCGGGCCACACAGCGCGCCACUUACGGGUGACGCCCUAGCUUUAGCGCGAUUUUGUUCUGGAUUCAUUUUCAUAAGGAUUCGACGUGAUCAUGGAGUGCCGGCUGUCGACUACCUGACGCCCUCCCCCUCCUCCUUUAUCCGGGCUUGGGACCGGCCAUGUAAGACACUUCUAAAUGAUCCAUAAAAGACAACGAAGAUGGCUGCCCUUUUAUCCAAAAAGAAACCAAAAGUAAGACAUUGGUUAUCAGGGUUGAUCCCAUGCCUAUGGAAUUUCUCCUUUUAUUAUGAAACAUUGCAACUUCUCAAAAAUUCUUGAAAUCAUAUAAAAUCAAUCACUACCAGAAAUUUGAGCUUUCCUUACGAAUUUGUAAGCAACGGAAGAAAUCUCGUCGGCUAAAUCUAACUUACACGACGAACUUUGCCGGUGGUAAGGCAAAAUAAGUUAGCAACCUGGGUUGACUGAAAGUUCUUAUACGACGAACAUAGUUCGUAGGUAAUGAAAAGAUUCAUCGGGUAAAUUUUUGACGCCAAAUAAGAAAAGUUUUAACCAACGGAGAUGUGUGUUGUCGUGGUAAAGCCUAAACUCAAAAGGGGAUGACAUUCCCUUUGUGAGGGUUCUAGAUCCGUGACAAUUUGAAAGUAGGCUAAAGAAUGAAAGCCAAGAAGCGCUUUGCCUAUAGAACUGAGUAGUAAGGCAUUAAGGCUUAAGAAGAUGGAUAAGACUAUGUUUCUUAAUCAAUUCCUACUUAUUAAACUACAAAUUAUGAUCAAUUUAAGGAUAACAUUAAAAAUGAACCACAGUUAUGGAAGAAUUGUGGGGGUAGCUUAGCUAUCUUUGAGAUAUGAGAUUUACUUAAGAAGAAUGGAAAUAUAAUUCGCAAGAUGUCAUCUCUUGUAAAUGAAUAAUUGUUUGAGGUAUGGCAAGGUUAGAGACCUUCUUACAAUAUCAUAAAUAUGGGGAAAGUCUACUUCUUGGCAAAUUAUUUUGUAAGUCCUAACAUAUGUUUCUAGGACUUAACAUUGGAAAACAACUACUCUCAUAUAAAAUAAAAUUUCAAUAUGGAUUUUGCGCACCAUUAAAUAUAGUCAACUUAGUAAUGGAUCCAAUUAUUAAAUGUUAGACUAAAAAGUAAGUUAAUCAUAAAGGGGAAUGAGGGCUAAAGUCAACAUGACUAAUGAAUCAGCCGAACGAAAAUCUAACUUAGUUGAUUGGAGAACCACUACAAGAAAACAUGCUAUAGGACACCAAUGUUUGCACACCAUUUACUAUUAGAGUCCAUAGGUAGAAAGUUUUAAAUUUAAGAUUGGUGUCCUUUCAUUUUUGGUGUCUUUAAAUCUGAGAUUAGUGUCUUUUAAACUCAGACCCACCGAUGAUGGUGCUAGUGAAACCCCUUUGGUAAAACUCAGACCCUCCCCCCUCCCGUAUCCUCUCUCCCUCUUCUCUUUCACGCAACAGCGCCGCCGUCCGCCGGUCACCAAUGACGGUCAAAUUAUACCUCCAGAACCCUCUUCCCGUCCUCUUUCCAACGCCCAAGUUAAUUUUUACAAAUUCGUAACCGAAUUUCCGCAAUUUCAGAUCUAAGAAACAGUGACCGGGGAUUCGGUUACGAAAAUCUCCGGUCACUGUUUUUAUUGGACAUUUGAUUGCAGGUUAUAGCAGCAACUUGCGGAAAUUCGGAUCUAAGAAACAGUGACCGAAAAUCCCCGAGUUUCCGCAAUUUCUCGUAUACUUACAUUACUAGUUUUUAUUGGACAUUUGAUUGCAGGUUAUAGCAGCUAAUGGGAAGUUCCGCCUAUCAAUGCUACUACAAACUAGAAUGUCGACGCCUCUAGAGGAAUUGGCGUAGUUAACUGUUUUUUGGAAUAUGUACGCUUUCCCAAGUACAUGCAAUGGAAGCUUUUACAUGGUUAUUGCACCUCCUUUUACUUGGUUAUAAGAGUUGGCAUGGGUAUUUUUAACAUAAUUAUACUGAAUGAUUUGGUGCUCUAUAGAUUGUUUAUUUCCCUUCUUUGGAGAAACCUAAGUGACUCUGUCAGGAACCAUUGUCCCUCAUAGUUGAGUGUCCAUCCUUGUUGUGUUACUUAGUGGUAUACUGUUUUUUUCCUUCUUUUCUAGGUCAAAGCUAGACACUUACGAUAAUGAGGCAUCCUUUUUUUACAACACAAUUUGCAAGUUGUUUUUUUGUUUUGUUUUUUUGUUUUUUCGGACAAGGGGUUCCACUUUUAUUACCAACACAAAACUUACACAACUGGAGGUCCAAAUUUACAACAGCCACACAACAACUAAGAGCCUCCAAAACACCAACAAAAGAAGAGCCCAACCCAAGAGUUGAGCCCAAAACAAAAGUACACACGGAAACCUAACCGACUAAAUCCUUUGUCGUUGCAAGAGCACUCCUCCGACCACGAACUGAGCCCCCUGCAAUUGCUGAAGAUAAAUCCCAACCAAGCCCCAGGAACAGAAACAGAAAAUUGCAACGUCCUCAAACAAACAUCCCACACAUCAAGUCUGGAACCACCAAGGGAAGGAAGCCAUUGGGAAAGAACCUCUCAUAGGCAACAGUGCCAAGACUGACACACAAACGGAAAGAGGUGGUGUGACCAUCCGAGCUGAAGCUCUACACACUUUCCUAGAAAGUCGUGAAACACGGUAAAACGAAAAGGUUACAGAACAAAAGAAUUGUGGGAUGAAGAUCGGGCGAAGUGGGAUAGACAAAAAGUUGUUUGAGUAAAUGCAUGGAGGUGGAAAGAUUAUGGGGAGAAUAAGAAAGGAGAGAUCGGAAAAGGAAAUUUUCCAGUCGAGAGCCAAGGUCGGUUAACUGAAGCAAGAGGGGGUGGAUGAUAGAAGAAAAAUGGAUCAGAAAAUCAAGAACAACAGAGGAGGAGAACAGGAAAAAGAAUAGGGACAGGGAUUGCCACCGACCCUGGCAACUGCUAAGGCCGGCGGCUGAACGAUUCAUUGGAUGUGGAAGCACUAACUCACAGAAAGUGAGAAGAUCUCUCACACGGAGAGGAAGACUCACACAGAGGGAGAGAACUGAUUUACACAAUUUGCAAGUUUGACACCAAUGAUUUAGGGUGGCACUAUUUUCAAAUGACUCCAAUGUAUUAAGGGUCUCUAUUGUUACAAUAGAGACUUCUACAUAGGACAUGUACUCCUAUUUAGUGGCUAUUUGGUGGCAAUUGAGGUUUGCCACCAAUGUGAGUGUCCACUAUUUAUAAUAGACACCAAUGAAAAGGGUGUUCUUUAGCCAAAAUUCUAGUAGUGAUCCCAUGGUCUAAGUUUAAUAGGCAAACUGGUUGGACAUGAUUCAAAGAAGUUAACACACUAUUUACCUCAUUCCUGUGAUGGAAGAAGAAUGUUAUUUGAAGAAAUUUUAGUGUGUAUAUUUAUACUUAAUGGUAGUGAUAUCUUAUAAAUAAGAGGAGAGAGCAGACUAUUUUUAAUCAGUGGUCACCUAUGUGGGAGUAAAAGUGGGUUGUUUCUAUGAGUAUGAGAUGACUACAUUCUCUAAAGCUUCUAUGAAUCUGGGAUUUGUUCAGCACCAAAAUGAACACAACUGUAUGAACCAUGAUGUAUGUUGCUUAUUGUCUUGGUUUACUGCUGCAGUGAACAGUUCAAGAUCUUUCACAUCCAUUGCGUCAUCAAGUAAAUCUGAUAAGUUUAGGAUAGGUUCAGUCCAAAAGACACCUCUCCCGAUCUCGUCCACCGUACUCUCAAAUUCUUCAUAAUUUUCAUUCAUGUGGAGGAUUGUUGGAGUCUAUAAAUUUUAAUUUAUGAAUGACAAUAUUCAAGUCUUAAAGGUUGCAUUGUUCCACGUGUAAACAUGAUGCUAAGUAUUAAAGAACCAACGGUUUUGGUUUGAAGGAUGCAUAUUUUCUGAUAGGUUACAUCUUCUCGUUAAGCAAUACUUGAGUGCUAUAUAAACCUAAGAAACUAUUGUCAUUUAAGUAGAAAUUAAGAGAAGAUUUUUCUAAUGUCUUUUAUUAUUUGCUUGUCAAAUUCGAGUUGUUUUAAGAGUACGGAAUAUAUGAAGUUCGUUAGAGUUCGAAGAUUGAAGUGCUUUGACUUCUGAUUAUAGAUUGUUGAAUCUUGGGAGACAAAGGCCUACCGAGCUACAAGCAUAGAGUAGGGGAGAAAUUCUAUAUUUAGAACAUUGCAUUUAUGCAAGCCUCAAUUUCCAAAUUUGUCAAUCUUUCUUACUUUCUCUCUAGUUGUUUAUAUUAAUCUUGUAUACUAUUGAUAUUUGUGGUUUUCUUUAUGAUUAUUAUUAUUGGACUUCUUGUGUUAUUUUCAUGUUUUUUAAUAUUUUUCCAACAGUAGCAAAUAGAAGAAUUAAUGCUAAUGUCACAAGCAACUGAAGGUACAUUUUUCCUUGGAAUACGGUAACACCAAUCAUAGGGUCUCCGGAGCAUCCAUGUAGCAUAUAUCCAAAGGUGUAAACGAGCCUUACUAUACGUAUUAUAGCAUAUAGUUGUGGUGGCAUAUCAUUUCUUGAAGUCCUUGGGUUAAUUUGAAUUUUUAGGUUAUAACAAAGGACUUGGAUUUGAGUUUUGUCAGGUUAUGAGAACUACUGUGUUCCUCUGUUGAAUUCCAAGUCUUUCCACUAACAAUAUAUACACACACACAUACAUAUAUAUACAUGUAAUACAUACAUACAUACAUACAUACAUACAUAUAUAUACAUGUAAUACAUACAUACAUACAUACAUACAUAUAUAUAUAAAGAAUGACCAGCUAAUUUGUAAUGACAAAUUAUUUACAUGUAGUGCCGAAUCAUUUGUUGUCUAUAAGACUAUAACAACUACCUAUAUAUAAAGAAUGACCAAAAGAACAUACUAUUGUUUUGGUUCUGGAAUGGCACCCCCCAUUAGAAAAUUGAUUACUUUUAUGAUAAUAUUAUACAGGCUUUCAAAUUAGAAAAAGAGCACAUACUAUUUUUUGCUUCUUUUAUAUAUAUAUAUAUUUUUUUUUUUGGUCACCAAACUAAAUAAAUUAAACACAAACAAAUAAUUUUUAUUUUUAUUUUUUUAAAAAGAGGACAACAAGUUGCAAGUCAAGUUUAUUCAUCCCUUUCGGGUUCGGAGAAGAUAUGAAGAAUUUCACCUUGAUGUGACCAUAGUUAAGCAAACUCAUCACGGAGAAAAAAAAAUGUGUAAUUAACAUUUCCUAUUCCGCUUGACCAUCGAAGUAAAGUUUCAUACUAUAAUUAAUAUUUCUCUCAUAAUUCAUAUUUAUUGUGACACAGUUUUUACUUUAUUAAAAUAAUUUUUUAUUUAAAUACCAAGAACGAUAGUUGUUGAAUUAAUUAAAAUAAAUAAAAAUAAAGAGAGGCGGCUGUCUAUCAAACGAAGGUGCGCAGCUGUUUCUAGGAACAAACUUAGCAAAUACAAAACUAAGGCAAGGCGUAUAUAAAUAGCCAUUCAUGCAUAUGUUUUCAGACCAUCAAACAGAAUUUCCUAUUUGCAUAAUUGCAGUGCAAGUAACUAAAACAAAAUGUUUGGGGGCAAAAAAGGAAUAAAACUGACACUUACGGAGAGUGAAGUGCUAGCGGUAGCGAGGAGGAGGAAAGCCAUAGAAGAUCAGAAGAAAAGAGAAGCACUGGAGAAAGCUAGGAAGAUAAGAGAAGCAAAGGAGAAGAAAGAGAGGGAGAAGAAGCUUGCACAGAAUGAGUUGUACAGGAAAAUUGAACACAAGAAACAAAUAGAAAGAGACAUAGACAUGUUGAGGCGCAAGCUCGCAAAUAUGCCCAAUUAAUCGAUCAUCAACUCUUUGGCAGUUACAUCUGCAAACUCCUUCCAAGCUUGUUUAAUUUAUAUUUACUUUUCCUUUGUUGUUUUUCCCUUUUUGUUAUUGGCUGAUGGUUUUUCUUGUCUAU